RNAcentral lists this long non-coding RNA (65858 nucleotides) under Prunus persica (peach). Its description in RNAcentral is "long non-coding RNA (PPER_LNC003696)". The record is from RNAcentral. Lineage: Eukaryota; Viridiplantae; Streptophyta; Magnoliopsida; Rosales; Rosaceae.
UUUACUUAAUGUAUAAACUUAUUAAAAGGAUAAAAAAUUUAACGAUAUAAAUGAAUCAUUUAUAACAACAACAAAAAUACACCUAACUAUGAUUGAAACAUUCACUUCAACUGAACAAAAAACUUCAUUACUUAUGAGUGUUAAGAAGUUUUUUUUUUUUUUUUUUUUUUUGGGAUAAGCCCAACGCAUGUUCAACCUAGGAAUUGAAUUGGGGUUUGAGCUUUGGCAUCCAUAAUGCCAAAAGGAGAAGUAAAAAAAAUUAUUUUGACUUGAGUGGGUUGUUCGGCAGAAGAGAGAGAAUAUGUUAGAAAAGGGUAUAAUUGAGUUUUGUUUUUAAAAAUAUAUUUUAACUUGAGUGGGUUGUUCGGUUGAAGGGUAUAAUUGAGUUUUGUUUUAUUUUGAAUUGGUGAUGUGGUGUGCUAUAUGUAUUUUGGGCUUAAAAAAAUUAAAAAUCGCAUGGACUAUGGUUCGUCACUUACAUUUUUUAAUCUCAAUGAUUAGAUCUCGAGAGUAUAUGUACAAUUUAAUCUUCAAAGUUGACUUGUUGUUAGAAGAAUUUUGUUUUUAUGACAUUAGCAAUUUAAACGGGAAAUAAACAAAAUAUAUAAAUUUUAUGAAAACAAUUUAGAACUUCAAAGAGGCUUAGAAAAAUUUUCAAAACGUUAAUAAAAUUUAUAAAAAUACCAAAAACCUCACGAGAUGUUAAUAGAAAUAUAUCUUUCAGAAAUCCCUUCAAUUUUCCUCCCCCUGUUCUUUUCUUCUUGCUAAUUUUCCCUCUGUAUUUUAAAACUCUUUCCCACUGACAACGCUGAAACGUAUCCCGAAUUUCUCUCCAAUCUUUGUCCGCUUUCUCAACAAGCAUUUUUCGACCUGUCAACGCAACGGUACUGCUACACCUCAGAGUCGUCUUGCACAUGCAUCGAAUUUACGAUAUUAGACUCUGCAUCUCCACCCACAAAACAUGCACCUCUUAUCCCACAAAACCCAAAUCUGACCAGUGGCAGUUCCGUACUUUCAACAAAAGUCCACGUCACUCUGCCCGCCUUAUAAAUACCGUCACUAAAUUUCACAAUCUUCUUCGCUGCUCUUUAUGUUGUUUCAGUCUGAGCUCGCAAGCCAUUUCCGAUUGACAAUUUCCCGAGAAAAUCACAUUUUCCGGUAAAGUAUUAUCUCGGAAAAUCUUCUAUUUUCUGAGAAUUUGCAUUCUAAUUUCCGUUUGUCUUUGAUUUUGACCUUCUUUUUUUUUUUUUUUUUUUUUUUUGUGUUUUCUUUUUAUUGGAUGGCAAGGAAGAAGGUCGGGAAGCUCGCGAAGCUUGAGAAAUUCGAAAAUGGCUCCUCCAAUCCUUUCCUUGGUUCUGCCCUCCGAGACUGGUCGAGUUCUGAGUAUUCAAUCUCAUACAGUCCAGGUAUUGGCGGUUUUGUUUGUGUUUGGUCACUGAGAAAACUGAAGGAAAAAAAAACAUGCCAAACUUGAAUCUUAAAUUUCCUCUACAAGUUAAAAUAUUGAAUGUAUCCUUUCUGUAUGAAUGAAUUCCAGUAUUGAAUUUGAUGUGAUUUUUUAUGGCAUUAAUGGUAUUUGUGUGAUAGUGGAAUGAUAAAUUGUGUGCUUAUUUGACUGGUACUUCAAGGUAAAGUUAGUGAAAACAGAUACACAUUUUGUGUGUGUGCGAAACUUAUUUAGGAUUUGUAUGGCAUAUUAGAUUGUGAUGAACUAUGGAUAAUAUGUCUACCCCAAAUUGGAGUUGUUGGAUUUCUCAUAAGUAAGCAAAAAUACGUUAUACGGUCUGUCCCGUGUUCUAAAUAGCUUACUAGAUUUUGAGGCAGGUAAAAGUCCAACAACAACGUUUCAAGAGAAGAACCAAAACUGCCAUAAACUCUUAUUCUCAUAUCAAACUUUCAUACUACUUGAUACAACUGAAGAAACACAGGUCCUCCUAAUGUUCAUCCCCCAAAUUAAAUGCUAAUAUGUGAACCUAAAUUACAAUUAAUCCAUCUUUAUCUCUUCGACUCUCAAUUCAUUUAACCACAUUCAAAAUGUAAUUACUUAUCUACUCAAUUAAGGAAACGUCUAUAUUACUCUCAACAGAUUUGCUGUGUUUUUUGAAUUGGCCUUUAGUCCAUAUGAAAGCUAUAUGUAUGUGACGUAUAAAUUAUUGUGCUAGUACCUAUAUUUUUGAACGGAUAUGCGCCAUCAUUAGACCUAACAUCCAUAUAUUUUCUCUUUGUUGUGAUUUUCUGGGAAGGGACAUGACAUCAACUCAUUUUCCUUCUUUUGCUAAUGAUACAGGCAAUUUGUCUGUUUCGUGCCACCAAGUUCUGCCCUUGACAUGUCCUGAAAUAUAAUGAUUAUGUGAUUCCAAAUUCCAAAUUUGUCUGUAUCGUGUCCCUUCCCUUAUUUUCUCACCUUCCUUGAAGUGUAUGAGCCAUAAUUGCCUGCCCUGUGCAUCUUUCCUGGUCCUAAUUUAAGUUGGGCCUUGUUGUUUUCAUGAGUAAAUAUGAAUAUGAUUUGAGAGUGGGUCAGGGAUAUCUACCUGUACUUUGUAGAUUAUGUUUUAACCUUACAUCAUUCCUGGUCUUUUACUUAUGGUUAGGGAUAUGUGGGGAAUAAGUCAGCUGUAUUUCCCUUGCAACUAUUAGGCUAUGAUGUGGAUCCAAUUAAUUCAGUCCAGUUCUCAAACCACACAGGCAAGCUGCUUCUACUUCCUUCAAACAGUCUCAGAAUUUUGAGGCCUGAUAUGCGGCGUGAUGCCAUCUGUGAACCUGUAUAAAGUCAAGCAUGAUGUCUUAGUUUUAAUGGAGGUAACAUCCUGAUUCAAUAUACCUGAAAACAUUUGCAGGAUACCCAACUUUUAAGGGUCAAGUUUUGAAUGGACAACAGCUAUGGGAAUUGAUAGAAGGCCUUGAAGAAAAUGAUUUAUUAUACUACACUCAUUUAUUAACAGGUAUAUUAAAUUAUUCAUGGAUUGGUUUUGAAGAUCUGGUCCUGUAUAACAUGGUAACUAUUAAGUGAAUGUGUUAUUCUGACUUUUUGCCAUUGGAAGAAACAAAGAAGACAGAAAAAAUAAAGAAGGGUAAAGCUGAAUGCUUAGGAAUAGGACUGGUGGUUGCAACGUUGGUGCUAAGCAAAUCAAUAGAUCUAUGCAUGAAUAUAGCACAAUCUAGACCUAUAUCACACAGAUUAAAAUUACAUAAAACAUGCUUUCCAAAAGUCUGAAAGAAAUCAUUCUUAUAGAUAUUAAUGAAAUAAAGCAGCCAAUAAUUCCUUUUAUACCUUUCUAUUGUCACCAGUUCACUUAGCCUCAUUCUUUCUUUGGUUCUUUGAUUUUUUUGGUUGUAUUUUUAGAAAAAAAAAUUGAUGCCAUUGUCAUGAAGUUAAUCAGAUUCAACUUCUUUGUCCUGUCUUUUCUUUUCCCCAUCUUCUGCGUUAUAAUAUGCUUUGGAGACUUCAAAACAGUUAUUGGUGUGAUUUCCUUGUUUGGGAGGGCUUAUGCAACUGUUCUGACCUCUGAGUUGACGAUGGAAAGAGGUUACAUUUUAUUUAAAACACUUCUAUAAAAUAAAAUAAAAACUUUAAAUUGGGGAAAGCAUCGUAAAAUCUUUGAUAUCUUCUUAUAGUACUACCUUUACUUUCCUUUGAAGUGUAUGUGGCUUUGAUCUAGUUGAUUUUUGUGCAGGUUAUAUUGGUUCAGUUUCGUUUUUGAGCACUAUAUUGGAGGUUGUCAAUAAACUUCGCUCUGUAAACCCAAAACUUAAAUAUGGUGAGUGGAUCAUGAAUAUUUCAGAAGUCCUUGCCAUCAUCAAAUAUGUAUACUAAUCCUUUGUAUAGCUGCGGUAUUUUUAUUUUGUUGGGGCACCUGAAAAUGUUAAUCUAACUUACUAGCGCUUCUCCUUCACACUUUCGUUGUUGUAUCUGUUUGGUUAACUUGAUACAUAUGGAUUAUUAUUUGCUUUGCUUGGUCGUACAUGUUAUAAGAUGCAAGAAUGCAAAAUAACUGGUGAAUGGCCAUAUGUUUUAAUUAGAACAUUGCUAAAAUUGUAAAAAUUCAAGAUUCUGUUGUAACUGUUAUAUGUUGCUAGAACGAAAAUGUAAUUUUUUUUAAUGGGGCCAUAAAGAUAAAUUCUUCUUGCUGACUUUGAUAAGAUUAUUUAAGUCAAUUUACUAGUGAAUUUUGAGAUCUUACAAACUUAUCUUGUAUAUUAAAGUUAUUGGCUUAAAAAUUGUAGUAACCAUCAUGUCAAGAGAGGGACAUAAUAGGAAUAUAUUUGGAAAGCAGAGUUGUGGAACAUAUGGCGUAGAGUAAGCCCUUUUUGUUCUUUCACUCAUGAGUGGAUGCCUUGCAAUCUGUCAUGAUCAUUUUGAGUAUGAGGGCAACAGUUGAAUUCUGCAGAUUUGUGGCUCCAUGGAAUGUGAUUGUUCAUCUUCUUCUCUAUAGAAAAAAAUAAACUAAUGUAUUUUUGGGUCAUAUGCAUUUUUCAUCUUUGUUAUGAUAUAAUUCUUGCUAUCCUUUACUUGCCCAGUCUGUGAUCCAGUGAUGGGUGAUGAAGGAAAGCUCUAUGUCCCUCCAGAAUUGGUAUCAGUAUAUCGAGAGAAGGUAAGCAAUAUGACUUGUCUAUGGGUGCAUCAUGGAAGCAUAUCUAUCAUAUUCUUUGCAUAUACAAGGGUGGAGAAGAUUUUUAAUUAUUAGCAUGUUAGUAGUUUGACAACUGCUCAAACUUGAAUUUAUGUCAAACCAACAUCUGUAUGUUUGUGUUGGAUACAAAUCGACUUUCCUAAGAAUUUAAUCUUGAAUUUUUUCCUUUCCUGUAAUUUUCUUGAUACAAGAAGUAUUGAUGUUGGUAUAGUAGCUUGAUAAUGAAAUUGAUUUAAUAGCUAUUUCUGGUAAUGCAUUUUAUAUAAGGUUGUCCCAGUAGCUUCAAUGUUGACUCCCAACCAGUUUGAAGCAGAACUCUUGACUAACUUGAGGUAAUUUCUUAUGCCACAGUAUAAUGAUAAUCAACAUUGCCCCUUGUAGUUAAACAGCAUCUGGUUUUUCUUGUGGUGCAUUUGCUUUUUUCCCAUUUAGGGCCAAUAAAUGAAACUUUAGACAAGUAAAAGUUAAAAACCUUACUUUUGAGUCCUUUUUACAAAUAACAGGUGAAAUCUUAUGCUGUAACAGGAUUGAGUCUGAAAAGGAUGGUCGUGAAGCUUGUAACAUUCUUCAUGCUGCCGGACCGCCAAUGGUACUAUUAUUUAGUAAUGUUUUUAAUUUUUUUAUAUUUCACUGUACAAGUCCUGAAAUGCUUGUAUUCGUGUUAAUAUGACAGAUUUUGUUAUGGUCUUGUUUUGUUUCUCUCCCUAAUCUCUGUAUCCUGAAAAACUAUCAUUGAUUCAUUGGUUAUGUUUUCAUUUUGGGAUUUUGGGAUUUUGGGUUCUGGAUAAAUUUUUGUAUCAAUAGUGAGCCACUGUUAUUUGGUAUCUGAUUGAGUUGCAAGUUGGUUAGGUGAAUUAUUUUUAUUUGUUUAGAGAUAGAGAUAAAGAAAAUCCAGUGCUGCCACUUCAAGAGGCUUUCGAUUUCUGGUUAAUACUGGUGUAGAGCAUUUAUUCAGAAUCACAAAGCAUGCGUGGGCACAUUUGGUAUGUCAAAGCAAAUAAUUAAAUCUGUUAAUGAUAUAAGAGUUUUGGUAUUUCCAAACUAAUUCAUGUACCUUAGUUAAUAUAGGAGCCCAUACAAACUUUCCUAGUGAAUAUCAGCUUUGCUUCUCUAUUCUCUCCUUUUCUUUGUUGAGUCUUUGUUGUUUUAAAUUAUCCUUUAUCCUUACCCUCUGCAUUUUAUACAGUAAAUCUUUUAUAGUUAAUUACUGAAUAUUCACUGUACUGAUCCUGAUAUUCACUUGUUGUGUAUCCUAUUAUUUUUUCAAUCAAAUUGAAGCCGAAUUUGGGGGGUAUAGAAUUACUUGAUUGUGCACUUCUAGUUAAUGUUAGAUCUGUCUCUGUCCCUGCCUGUCUCUCAGUUUCAUAUUUUAAUGCAUAAAUUUGAUCUAUCUCAGGUUGUGACUACAAGCAUAAAUAUAGAUGGUAAUCUUUCGUAAUUGGUAUUCAUUAGAGGGUACUUGCUUGGUGUACAUGUGGAAACUUGUUUGUGCGUUUCUAUUUAAUGUUACCUGUUUUGCUUGUUGUACACGUGGAAACUUGUUUGUGCGGUUCUAUUUAAUGUUGCCUCUCUCUCUCUCUCUCUCUCUCUCUCCUCUCUCUUCUCUCUCUCAUAUUAUAAUGUUAGUUUGAUAUAUUGUAGGUUGUGCUUACAAGCAUAAAUAUCAAUGGUAAUCUUUUUCUAAUUGGUAGCCAUCAAAAGGAAAAGGUGAGUUCUUGUCUACGAAUGAAAUUACACCUAAGGUUUGGGAUUUUUUAGUUGGGCUUAAAAGUUGGUCAUUCCAGUGUUUAAAAAAAAUAUAUGUUCUUUAAGAAUUUCAAAAUGUGGUCACUGUUUUGGGAGCUUUUAUUGCUGUAAUACAUUUUACUUGUCAGAUUAUGCUUCUUAUUUGAAUGCUUAGUUAGAUAUGACAUUGUUGUGCCCUUUAUUAUGUAUUCUUCCACAGAAAAAAAGGAAGUUUGAUUCUUUUCUUGCAUGCCAAAAGCUUCUAAAUGGUCUGUUUUUUGUACAAAUUUUUGUGCUGACCUUUAAUGAUUCCUGCCAAAAGCAAAAACCUUUUAUGAUUUUUCCCUAAUGAAAUAAAUUUAGACUUUAUUAUAGUUUAUGGCAAGAUUUCUUUUGACAAUGUGCUUUACACAAUUUUUACUUUAAUUAUGUGAUAGGGUCUGUCUCCUGAGCAAUUCAAGAUUGUGAUUCCUAAAAUUCCUGCAUAUUUCACGGUAUGAAAAUUUCCUCUUUAAUUUUUAUCAGCAAAGCUGUAUUCAUAGUUCUACUAGCACACAACAAGGAAUAUCCUUUACACUGUACUGUUGAAUACUGCAAUGAACUGAUGUUAAAAUAUAUAUAUAUUUUUUUUGUUUGUUAGUUCUAUGUCCCCUAAUUUUAUCUUUUUGCUAGUUUGAACCAUUUAUGAAGAUGUUACUUUAUAAUUAUACAACAGCAUAUUAGAAAAUAACCUGCCCUAUUAGCCUUGUUUUCUGAUCCAUGGUUUUGACAGUGUGACUUUCUAAUCCCUUAAUCGGAUUGUAUGCAGUCAGUUAAAUGUUACCUUUCCAAUUAAAUAUACCCAGUCAACUACUUCAUUAAUGGACACCUGGAUGGCAUCUCAUUUGAAGAAAAAAAGGAUUUCUAAAGGCUGCUGAUUUCAUGUUUAGAGCAUAUUGUUAACCAUCUUUUUUGAACUCUUAGGAGAAACUCAUGUUUUUCUUUGACUUUUCCCAUUCUUAUUUUACUGGAUAAAAAUCAGGAGACGUAGUGCCAAUUCCCAUACUGUAUUUAUGUUUAAAUUAACUCAAGAUUUUUGGGGUUUUACUUGGAGAGAAACAGACAGGGAGGGACAAUUAAUUUAUGUGGCCAAAACCAAAAAGACACAAGGGAUUCCUUCUUCAUAGUUUAUACUGACUUCAUGAUGGAUUUGAUUUACUAUCUUACCUUACCUUAUAGGAUUGAUGACUUAAUUAUCCUAAUUUAAUAGCUUUGGAUAUGUAGUUGGGGACCCUGGGGUAAGAUCAAUUGACACUGGCAUUAAACUUGCGAGUUUUACUUUUUAUAAGAUUCCUUCUUUACUAAUUCAAAAAUUGGAUUUAAUGUUGUGGUCCACACAAUUUUUAUUGUUUAUCAAAUCUCUGAUAAGCAAGUACUCCGUCAAGGUUCUUCUAUUCAUAACAUAAAUAUGUAUAAAGAAAAUACUAAUUCUAAACAAUAUGGAUGGAAUAGUUAGAGAUACUGGAUCAACUUGAAAGUUGAGCUGCAUGGUGAGCAUAGUUAAAGCAUCAAGUUGAAAGAUUUGAUUACCAAAAAGAAUCGUAUAUAUGUAUAUAUGCCGGCGUCAAUUGAUCCUGUUAUCUAGUUUAUAUGGUAAAACCAGUUGUAUGAUUGACAAAUAUGUGCAUGAACUUGUAGGGAACAGGAGAUCUUACAACUGCACUUCUACUUGGGUGGAGCAAUGUAAUUCCUUUAAACUAUGUUUUGGCUUUGAUUCAACUCCUGAGCCCUUCUUUCCAAUAUAGUUCUAUAUCUAUAAAUGGUUGUUCUUUCUACCCAGAAAUAUCCUGACAACCUGGACAAGGCAGCCGAGCUUGCUGUAUCAUCCUUGCAGGUAUUCCGUCCCUCCCCCACCACUUUUCUUGUUUCUUUAAUUGCUAGUGUUCUUUCAUAUAUAAGUAUUUCUGAAUGAUGUAAAGUUCUUUUGAAUUCCACCUUGGACUAAGUAGGAGUACAAAACAUAUAAAGGUACGACAUAUCAAUAUAUAAAGAGCAUAACAGCAUUAUGGUAUAUUUUCUGAAUACUAUUUUUGCAUAGUGUUUGUUAAAGAAGAGUCACGAUAUAUUUAUAGAAACAUUUUAGUGGAAAUUAUUUAUUCUAUGAUAUGUCAUUACAUGUCCUGCUGGCUGCUACUAGGUAUUGUGUUACACGCGACAUAUACACGGUAGUUGUAAGUGAUAUGCCUGAUAAGCUAGAUAAAUAGAUACCUCAUGGAAAUUAACAAUUCUUAGAAAGAAAGAAAAAAAAAAAAAAUAUUCCGCAUGUGAUAGGACCCAGCGAUCUCAAACUUAACUCUAUGCUUAUACAGGAAACCAAUCUUGAUAUUAUUGUAACAAAAUCCAAAAUACAAGCCGUCUUGCUUUGCACAACUAAUCAGUAUUUAUACUGACUUGCAAACUAAGACUUAGUUAAACCAACUCACUGAAUAAUUCUCCACUAAUAACCAAUACAUCUAACAACAUGACACGUGUGCCACUAAUAACAUGCCAACUUAUAGGACUCUAUCAGCAUGAGUAGCAAUUUUUCUUUUGUGAAGUUACCUGAACUUGGUCAUUAUUUAAUUUGAUUUACCCUAGUAAGGAUCAAGUUUUGGAGGCCUGUGUGGGUGAAUACAACUAGAAUAGAAUGAUAGUUGCAGGCCCUGCUGGUUAAUAGUUGAUACAAUCUGGAUGUAUUUCCCUUGCUUAUUCCACCUGGUGGCAAAAGAAACUUUUACACGAAUUUAUUGUCUCUGGUUUAACCUUAUCACCGAUCCCUUUAUGUGAGCCAUGGUUGGCUGAUUCUGUGUUUACAAUCAAUACUUACAGGCCCUUCUACAGAGGACAAUUAACGACUACAAAAGUGCCGGCCAUGAUCCCAAGUCAAGCAGUUUAGAGAUUCGAUUAAUCCAAAGUCAGAACGACAUUCGUAACCCCGAAAUUAAAUUCAGAGCCGAAAGAUACACUUAAAAUGGUUGAUAUGUACGGGACAUGGUAUAUGUAAUUUACCAUGAUCGUUUGAAAACUGUUACCCAAUGCUAUCACCAUGAAAGUUGGAUACAUUUUCUUUUCUUUCGAAAUAUGCACAUGGAUAUAGGCAGAGAUGUAGCCAACUGACAGAUGCUCAUCUUUUUUGUUCCAUAGUUGUUAGGGCUUCUGGUUUUGAUACUUUUGGUGGGGCAACAAUUUGGACAAAUUUACUGCUCUUGGGGUAUCCGUAUUAAGGAUUGUUAAUUUUUUUUUUUGGGCGGGAAAAAAAAAAUUGCCAGUCAGUUGAAGUGAAAAGUAAACUCCACGUUUAAGUGACUUUUGACGCACAAACAUGUGGAUUUUAUUAACAUGAAAAAUUAUAUUUACAUAUUUAAGUCGAUUUUUGACACCCUUCUCUCUCUCACUGUGACUUUGAUUGGGUUGCCAUCUCCCUUCAACACCAACCCAAUCUGUUAUAUAUAUAUAUAUAUAUAUUUUUUUUUUUUUUAUUAUAAAUAUUUUUGUUUAAAACUUAUGCAAGAAAUUUUCUAAUUAUCUCCUAAAUUUAAGAAAAAAAAAUUCAGGAGCAUUAGUACAAUACAUGUUCUAAUUUGAGGACAUCAUAAUCUAUUAUUGGAAUUUAAGGGAAAAAAUACAAAUCAGGGUAUAAUUGAGUAACCAUUGCCACAAUUUAGCCUUAAAAAGUAUUUAAAAACUCUGUUUUUUUGUGUGGGUAUUAAUAUGAUGAAAAAGGUGCACCUAUAAUAUCCUUAUUUUAAAAAAAUAGAGGUAUUUAAUUAUAUACAUAUUCUUAGCAUUAGUGAUAUAAAUAAACCCUAUACAAUUUAAUUUCUAUAAACAAGUCCACACAAAAAUAACUGGCCUUAUUGAAUUUAAUUUUAAUUAUUAAAUUAUGUUGAGAGUUUUGGAUUUUUUUAAUGAGAUUUUGGAGUUGGGUUUGUUUUAAGAAAUCUAUGAUAGUUUUGUAAUUUAUAGAAAGUUCGAAGCCUUUUUGUUAUGUUAUAAAUGGACUUUGGGUGUGUUUUUAAAAUCCAUUUUAUAUAGAAUUUUUUUAAUAUAUAAUUUGAACCCCUAUAUUGGGCAUAAUAGUGAAACUCCCAAAAAAAUAUGUAUAAUAUCUUGACUUUAACAUUACUCCCUGAACCCUCUUUUAAUGAACCAUAACCAUAACCAUAACCAAUUAUUAUCACCGUCAAUUUUACAUUGUGAUCGAACCCGCAUGACAUUUUGAUAGUGUGUGUGUGUGUGAGAAACUCUUUCCCACCCUAUCUCUUGCAUUCAUAACAAUUUAAGAAUAAUUUAUGUAGAUAUAAUUUAAUUUAGAAAUGAUUUAGCUAUUUGAUUAUCACAAUAAUCAUUUCUAUGUUGAUAUGAACUAAUGUAUUUGUCUAUUUAUUUGAUGAUAAUCGAAAAACCAAAAUGAUUCUAGGUUUGUUGGCUUUUCAAAAAACAAAUUUAUUUUAAAAAUGAUGCUAUAGUGUAAAUACAAAUGAGUAUUGGGGCCAUUUUUUCAGGCCGCCAAUGGAAGAGGCCUCUGGACGCUUCACAUUACUCAUACUCGUAGUUCUUCUAACAAAACCCAUAGCCAUAAUUUUCAAAUCAAACAGAAUAAACUUGUCUUUCUAACUUUUGUUAAAAUGGAUGCUGAAAUGGCGAUGGAGCUUGUGAAGCAUGGCCUAACGCUUCUCUUCCUCGACGUUCCUCAGCACACUCUCAUCGGCAUUGAUACUCAGGUAAACUACUACCAACCCAGCCACACAUGCUUAUGCUCUGUUUUGUUGCCCAGAAAUUUCAAAAGAAAAUGGAAACGAAGAAAAUUUGGAUUUCUGUCUAUAAAUUAACACUUGAACACUUGGUUCGCUGUAUCUUCAGAUGUUUUCAGUUGGCCCUGACUUUAAAGGCAUAAAGAUGAUUCCUCCUGGUCCUCACUUUGUGUACUAUAGCUCAUCCACCAGGUUACCUCUUCUUGCUCAUUAUGUGUUUGUUGAAUGUCGGCAGAGAAUAGACUGACUAGUUGCUCUUCAUUUACUAUUGAAUUUUAAUUGUUUUAUGGGUGCUUCUAUUUUGUAUUUUUUAAAAAAUAUGUUUGGCUAUUUUUGGGUACACAGAGAUGGCAAGGAAUUCUCACCAAUUAUUGGGUUUUUUGUUGAUGCUGGACCAUCUGAGGUUAGUAACCAGUCUUUUAUUAUUACUUUAGUGGCCACUGGCUUAUUGGGUUUAACAUGUUACAGUAAGUUGUUUGUGGCAUGAUAUCAAGGCAUGUGAGCCAGACUGACCUUUCUGAUGUAACAGGUAAUUGUUCGCAAGUGGGAUCAACAAGAGGAACGAUUAGUCAAAGUACCAGAAGAAGAGGUUGGUAUUCAUGUUGAUUGUAUCAUUGUCUUACUCGGGGAGUCACAUUUUUCAAAAUAUGGAAUCAAAGUGAUUCACAAUGUUUGAAACUUUAGAUUGAAUUUUGUAACCUCAAUCUCAAAUAAGCUUCGUAAAUCUUAACUGCUAAGUAGUUAGAAAAUAUGGUCAAUAUCUUUUCAGGACAAUCACAGUUUAUCUUUUAUUUAUUAUCUUGCAACUUUAAUUAUUUUUUUUGGUCCAAUUUUAUUGUAUUAGUGAGCUCUUACAUUAUAAAGGGAGCAAGAGGGAAUUUGAGAAUUUUUUUCCCAAACAUAUUCUAUGGUCGAACAGAGCACAGUAGUGAUUUUCUCUGUUCAGUUUAGUAUUUUGAUUUCACAUAUGUAUCAUUUUUGUGCCAUCAGGAAGAGAGAUAUUGCCAAGCAGUUCGAAGUUUGGAGUUUGAUAGACAUCUUGGUCCUUAUAAUCUAAGCCAGUACGGAGAUUGGAAACAGCUAUCCAAUUACAUUACGAAGAGCAUCAUUCAACGGAUUGGUAAGCUUUAUUCACAACUUCAAAGGCGUAUGUUCACAAUUAUCUUAGAUUUUUCUAUCAGGAGUUUGUUCAGUAUCAUUGCUUGACUUUUGUGGAACGAAUAGAUUUUAUGCUUCAACUGCUGCCAUUUGCUUCUCUCUCUCUCUCAAUUCUCACAUUUAAAUUUGAUGAUCUUCAGACCCACAAUGUUUGUAUGUUUAAUUUUACUUUACUUUUUUUUUUUUUUUUAAUGCAUAGGAACCCACAUUGUUUGUCUGAGUAUUUUAUCUUGUUAUAACAUACAAUGGGCACUUGCUAUCAAGGAUGAAAAUAUUGGCGAUACAGAUAGUAUCAGGCCUUCAAUUUACGGAUAUUUAGGGGGAUAUAUAGAUGUCGUUUUAGGUAUUGAGGAAAAUCGACAAAAAAGAUAGAUAUUGGCAUAAAAAAUUAAGUGAAACUUUCAUAGGUAUUAAGUACAUUAUCAAUGAAUGUAUUGAACAAAUAAAAUUCAACAUAUACUAAGUAUAAGAUAUGCAUAAGAUGAAAUGUACGUGUAUAUAAUGCGCGAUAAAAAGCCUGAAAAUAAAAUUUUGAUUACAAUGAUAAAAUAAAAUCCAUUGACACAAUAGAUACAUACCCCAAACAAAAUAAACACAAGCAGGCUUAACACAACAAACAUGCAGACCAACCCAUUAAAACAUAACCCAACCCAACCCAUUACUUUCAAAAUGAAGACAAAUUUCUGGGUUAUUUGUCUAGUAUUGGUAAAUAUCGGGAUAGCAGGGUUAUCAGGGAUAUAUCGCUGAUAAGGGGGGAAGAAAUAGGCUUACCCCCUUUUAUCUGUAUUGACACCUUAAAAAAGGGAUAUAUCGUCCGAUAUUUUCAUCCUUGCAUUCUAUACAAUUAUGUAAUAGACAUUAAAAGAAUAAUUUUUCAUUUGCUUAAGGAAAGUUCUCAAAGGCAGACUUGGUGGGAACCUUAAUUUUCCACAAAAUACUUGUUAUGGUUUUAUGUGCGUUAAAGUUAGAUGUUGGUGCAUCUGCUCCUUGUUAGGAGUUCAUAUGAUAUUACUGCUGUGAGCUUGUAGACAUGAUGGAAUAGUUAACGACCAACAUUAAAAUCUAGUGGUAUCGUGAGGUUUAAAUACUUCUAAGAUAUCCCUAUUUAGCUUUUCCUUCUAAUUUCUGCAUAAGGAUGGAUAUAAUUAUUCAUGUUGAUACUUCUAGCCUGGUACCUACCAACACAAUAUAAUACGGAAUUUUUUUUGAAAUAAAUUCUUCUAAGAAUAAGACUGCAUGGAACUCUUAACAGGAAAAUUCUUACAGGAGAAGUUAUAUUUAUAGUGGCUACUUGGAACUCUACAUUUUGAUAUUUCUUGGAUACUUUUAUUUAUGUUGUUAAGGACUGCUUCAGAUGAAUUUUAUCCAAUAUAAGAUUCAUUCUUUUUAUCCCAAACAACCUUUGAAUUUUAAUUGACUUGUACAGAACCCAUUGGAGGAGAAAUUACUGUUGCAUCUGAAUCUACAAUGCAUGUAAACACUCCUAGCACAAUGAUGGAGAAAGCUCUAGAUGAGCAGUUGAAUGCUAGUAGGUGCUCAACACCCAGUGACAAGUCUCAGACGAGAGGAUGUUACUACACAUCAAUUCCCCGUGUUACCAAACGAAAGGGAAUCCAUGGCCAACAACUUACUUCUUUGAAUCUUGACAAGGUAAGAACCCCUUCCCUCCUCUUUUAAGUUGUUCAGUUUUCUCUAAUGUUUUAAAUUAACUGAUUUGACUAUAUACUUUCACUAAUAUUUUUUUUUUCCUUCUUUUUUGUGGUCCGACUUUCACUGAUCUGUUUAGACACAGUUAGUAGAAAGUGUACUACUAGAAGAUUAUGGAGGUUCUGAGGACUUGCUUCUCGCAGAGCUGCAAUUUGCCUAUAUUGCAUUUUUGGUGUGUAAACAAUGCAGACUCCGACGGCAUUUUAUGUUAAAAAAUCAUCUGAGAUCUUUAUGAUAUUUUGAACUUAUGCAGAUGGGGCAAUCACUUGAAGCAUUUCUACAGUGGAAAUCCUUGGUCAGUCUUUUAUUUGGAUGCACUGAAGCUGUAAGUGUUGGUUUGAUUGCCUUGUUUCACUUAUUAUUGGGAUUUGUUCACUCUACCGAGUUUGUAUACUUUUAUUUCCUUUUUCCACAUUGUACAUCUGAAUUUAAAAUUAAACUCCCCACUUAUACAUUCUGUCCCUUACUAUUAAAGUAUAAACAUGUGAUUGAUAUGUUUGCAUUAAAUUUGUACCUCAUGAGUGUCAACUUAUGGUUGUAAUCUACUUUACAAAAGUAAGCAACCCUUUCCCAAAUCAGUAUAUACAGUCAUUUGAAUAUGAAUACAGGGAACUUUUUACUUUUGACCUUUGAUGGCAGCUCAUUUGCAUGUUUAUGCGAUAUAAUGUUUUCUCGAAAGUUUUUUUUUAACAGAUAAUAUGGUAAUCUUAAUAAUUCUAAAUCUUCAGAAGAUUAUUGUCAACAAUCACUCUAUUUAAUUUAUGUGCUAAGAUUUCAGACAUUAUAGAUUCACCAGCUUAAAGCUUUGGCACCAUAGAUUCACUAGAUUUUCAGUUUUACACAACAGAUCCUACCCAGUCUCUCAUUAAUUAUCUUUGGGUUGACUAGUGUUCUACUGGUACUAGCAUUAACAUUUCUUACGACUGCGCAAUUGUCAAAUUUGUACCAGACUAUAGACAUAAUCCGUCUUAAUAAGUCUCUAGUUACUAAAAUCUCUGCUGGAUUAAAGUGAGGCGUGUGGUCCGGUGGAGACAGUUGGGAGUAGCCUGGUAGGGAUCCUAAAGAAGCUUUAGACCUAGAGCUGAGGUUUUUUAUUAUAAUGUUGACCAACCUCUUGAUGUUUUGAGAAAACAAUUUCUUGAGUCCCUCACUGCAUAUCUUUGAGUUAAAUACUUAGAAUGAAGCUUUUUUUCCUAAUGAUGCUUGCUUCAUAGGUAGUUGAUACUGAAAUACACGAAAUCUGAAAUACUUUCUGACAAAAGUCUAAUCUGCCAUUAAUGCAGCCUUUCCAUACAAGAAGUCGGCUAUUUGCAAAGGUAAUGUCCAGAAUUGUCCCACUUAUAACUAAACUUUCUUGCAGUAUAAUAUAACUAUGAAGUCGCGUUCAUGGUGAUCUGGGAUACAGUUAUGUAAUUGAAAGUCUAGAUUCCAUUUAGCCUAUUUUGGGAUAUGUACUAGCGUUUCAGAAAGCUUUACAUAUUAUUUUUUUUGCAUGGUUGUGCUCAAAAUGUGUCAGUUGUUGCCUUGGUUUAUCAACCUUCAUGUCUUUUCUGUGUGGUGCUUUAUUAUUCCAGUACAAAACAGAGACAAUGUUCAACAUUUAAUCAUCCUGGUUUGAUAUUUGAUUUGUCUUUCGUAAUAUUUAUGACCUUUUACGCACCCAUUCUCCUGUCGAAUUAUUUGUCUCUUCUAAGGUGUUGAAUAAGUUUUUACAUAUCUUUUUUUGGGUCUGAAAAGCUUUUACAUAUCAGACAUUGUCAAACUAUUGGCUAGUUUAUAUUUAUUGUAAUAGAAUGUUUGUGUUUCUCAUAAAAAGGAAAAGGAAAAAGAAUUCUAGGUUGAUCGUGUUUUCUUUCCUGAGAGAGUAACACGUUUAAACUGAUUUCGUUUUCCAUUAAACUUGCACUGAACAGUACUUGCCUUUUUAUUUAUUUAUUUUUUCCAUUUCAUUUGCAUUGAUAAAUGACAUGUCAUGGGAAUCUCACAGUUUAUUAGAGUCAUCUACUAUCAAUUGAAACAAGGACUUCAGAAAGAUUGCACAGACACGAACAGUGGAUCAACCUUGCUAGAUGAUUCAUGGUUUUCUGCUGAUAGUUUUUUGCACCGUCUUUUCAAGGUACGAGAUUUGGGUGCUUCAUUCUGCUGCUGCUGUUUUUUUUUUUUUCGUAUUACACUGCCGUGCUUGAUUCAUUUUUUUCUUGUCGGUUCUGUUGUCAUUCAGUUUGUUUUUUCUAUCAAAUAGAAAAUCAACAGAAAAGUAUCAUUUAGUCAUCUUUCUCACAUCCAUGGAACUUUCUGUUCAUUGCAACUUGAUGACUAACCUAUAAAUGGGAUUCCAGGAUUUUUUUUUGCUGGUGCAAGAUGCCUCAGUUGUUGAUGGAGAUCUUCUAUCAUGGGUAUGCACUCUAAGCCUGAAUUUUCAUGAAUUUCUUUUUCCUAUCAGGCAAAAGUAGACAUCUGGAUUCUACUGAUAUGCUCUCUUUCUUAUUAUUUCUGCGGUUCUUGUUUUCAUCAGAUUUUUACUUCACAGUUGCCAUUGUAUUUAUCAUGAUAUGAAUGUGCAAACACACGCACGGAGAAGCCUUUAUUUUGUUGCUUUAAACAUGGAAUGUAAUAUUAUAAUAAGGUAGUUCACUUUUUACAUAUGUUAAACACUGACUCUUUAGCAAACAAGUGCAUAUUAACUCAAAACCAUUUUAUUGGGGCAAGGGUGGGUUGAAGAUGGAUGGAAGAAAGAAAAAUAAAUUUAUAUACUUUAGGCAUGGGCACAAGGUUAGAAUUUAGGUUAUUGUUGUUUUGUUUUUAUUUGUCGGAACUAAAAUGUAGUUGAUGGUUAUUGAUUUAAUUCCAUCUAUAGAAUUUAUAGCAUAUUGUUGGAAUAUUUAUAAUGUUUUUAGGGACUGGGUUACCUAAUAUAAAUUUGUCUCACUUCGAUUAUGUUGAGUUUACCCUAAUUUUCUCUCGCUGCCCUCGUUAUACUAAUCCUUCCUUUAGCCCUUUUGAUGUGUUUUUCAUUUAAAUGGAGUCCUGACUUGAUUUCUGAUCCUUUACUUUGUUGCUAUUGCAUUGCCAUUGCUCUGCAUACGAAGCAUUUCUUGUCAAGUCAUCUCUUUUUGUAUUUGUUUCCAAAACUUUGCUUCUUAUGAGAGAUGGUAGCUCAUCUGUGUGCUUCGUUGUCGUCACUUUUCCUGUUGCAUUUCAUAUGAAAACUUGGUCUGUGUACUAGAAUUGGAAAAGUAAUACAAGAUAUCUAUGUCUAAAUUCAUUAAAGAACCCUUCGAGCUUAAAUUACUACCAGUACUCGUCUCUUUUUCGGCUAAUCAUGUUGACAAAUCCUCAUUUGCAUGGUUCUCAUUCUUAAAGACAAGGAAACUCAAGGAGUUGCUUGAAAACAAUCUUGGAUGGGAAUUCCAGCAAAACAGUGCAGUUGAUGGGAUGUACUUUGAAGAUGAUGACGAGGUCGGUAUUUAUUUAUUUAUUUAAAUUGAACUGUGCUCACUUUCCCCACUUUAUUUUUUUAUUUUCUCUCACAACCCCUAACACUCGACAUUUGCAGUUCGCUCCUGUGGUUGAGAUGCUGGAUGACCCGAGUUCUAGUGUGGCGCCAUCGGUUUAACACUUAAAUCUCUCAUUCUCCUCUCAUUCUCUACCAUUUAACAUCUACAAUUCAAUCAUGUGGUUUAGAUGUUGGAUGACCUGGGUUGUAGUGAAACGCCAGCAGGUUACAACGUUGGUCAUCUAUGGUAGGCUUUAUGUCAUAACCAGUGUGUGAUCAGUAUAAAAUCAUUGCACCCAGAAGACCUUUUUUUUCAAGUAUGUGUAACCUUGUAUAGUGAUGCUAUACAAAAUACAGCACUGCUGUAAACUUUCCUUGCUAAUUUUAGACAGAUGGGACAAUUCCCUUGAAAUGCUCGGUGAAAGGUCUAAUUAUUUGAGAUUCAGUUUCUGAAUCUUCAUUUACUAAUCUUAUUAUAUAAAGCUAAUGGAUCUCAAAUGCAAUGACUUACAUAAAAAGGAACCAAAAGAAAUAUGUAAAAACAAAAAAGUGGCAUUAUAGCUCUGUUAGAAUGUGGGGCAUUAACCUUUAGGGGGCCGUUUUGUUAUGGCAGACUGUUAUGGAUUGCACUAAAUAUUGAGACUGUCUUGAAUUGGCUUGAUCCGUCAAAAAAAUUUUUUUUGGUCAACCAUGCAUUAGAUUCCAAGCCAAAAGGCAACUACAAGGAAAUAUAUAGAAAACAAUAUCUUAGACAAACUACAGAAGCACUUUCAUCUGAAUCACUACAAUCCAGCAAAAGAAGGAAAACUCCUACUCUAAAAACCAAAAUUAAGGACCUGGAAGACCAUCAGACACCAAAACAUGUAUGAGAGAGCGGUGGUUGAGUAACCCAACUCCACUGCUCGACAACCUAUCGUUGCAGCCUCACGAGCUGCUCAAUUUUGAACUCCUCUGAACCCAAUGCCAAAAAACUCUUUUGAACUGAUCAGCUAUGCGCCAGAUAACCUCAAUAGAAGGCCUAAUAGUCCAGGCACGGUUCCUUAUAUCCCCCUUGAUCUUGUCCACAAGGGUCUUUGAGUCAGUUUCCACGUAGACAUCAUUAUAGCCAAGAUUGGCCGCAGACUCUAGCCCCAUGACUACUGCUUCUGCCUCCACCUCAAGAGCAGAGUGACCCACCGGUGAUGCAACCAAGCAGCCUAGAAACUCCCCAGUUAAAAUCGAAUUACCACUCCAACACCAGUUUUUCUUGCAUUGCUUUGCCAACUCCCUUUCGUGGAUAAUACUUGUACUGCGUUGGUGUAUGUUUGAUUGGAUUAUGACUAAAUUUUUUUGUAAAUAUUUUUUUUGAAAAGUAAGUUUUUUUUUUUUUUUGGUGUGAAAAGUAAGUUUUUAAAAUAUGUUUUUGACUUUUCUUCUCUCUCUCUCUCUUCCCUCUUCUUCCUCGCUGAUUCUCUUUCAUCUUCUUCUUCUCUACAAAUCUAUUUCAUCAUCUUCUUCUCUCUAUCAUCUCUCCUCUUCUUCUGUCUACUUUUCUCUUUAUUUUGUUUCGAAAAUUUUCUCUUCACUUUCUCUCUUAUUCCUCUUCUGUUCUGUCUUCUCCUUCUUUUAUUUUUCUAAAAUUUUCCCUUCUUUCUCUACUUUUAUGUCUUCUCCUUCUCUUUUUUUUUGAAAAUUUUAUCUUCUCUCUUUUCUUCUCUCCUCUUUGUCUAUUCCUUCUUGGGUGGUUGUGGCUGGUGGUGGUGGUUGGUAGUUGUGUCUGGUGGUUGUGGCUGCCACUUGGGGGGUCGAUAGAUGUGGAGAGCUUGGGUGGGGUUGGUUGCGCGUCGCUUGGGUCAGGACGGUUAGUUCCUCCUCCCCAGAUGGGUUUCACUAAGAACUCCUAAGAAGAUGUUUUUCGUGGGACCUGUAUUAAUUAAUCCCACUUAAAAUUAAAACUGGGUGAAACAAGCGUGGGAUAAAAUCUUAGCCAAGCCAGUCCAUGUCAGAAUGGUGUAACAAACAAGCCCAAGAAUAAUUAGGCAGUGAUCAAAACCAACCCUAGGGCAAUGCAUCACCUAUGUGUCUGGCCAUAUGUUAAUCCACUUCAUGUCUAAUCACCAUAUUCAGACUGCUCACUUGUAUUAGUGUAUCAAUAAUGUUUUUAGAAUGUAUACAAAACAAGUGGCAUUAGCUCUGUAUUAAUAAUGAAUGAAAUCAAAGAAUGUACAUCAAAUUACAUACAAAUUUAGGAUAAUGAAGUAUUACACCAAAUUGUUAGAGACGCUUACAAACAAGCAUAUACAAAAUUCUAACUUAAGAAUCAAGCUAAGCAGCACCAAUUAUAGGGAAAGCCGAUGGCUUUUGGCAAACAGCGGUUCGAUUUGGAAUGACAGGUCUUGAAUCCCAAAGGAAGAAUCUGCUGCUCAGAAGGCGACGAAGACACCGAAGAGAGUUCCUUUACUGGAUCCAGAUUAGUCACAAAUGGAUGAUUCAAUAGCUUAGCAGCAGUGAACCUCUCAGAAGGGCUCCACACAAAGCACUUUCCCAAGAAAUCUUUAGCCUCUUCUGAUAACCAAACAGGAAUAGUGGGAGAUUUUGAAGCAAUCUGAAGCAUUAGGUCCCAAGGUCUCGCCCCGGCUUUCAAAUCCCUUGGCUUCCUCCCAGUCAACAUCAUAAGCACAAUACAGCCCAAUGCCCAAAUAUCAGAAGGUUGCAGCUGAAUAUUUUGAAGCACAGUUUCUGGAGACCAAUACAGUGUAGUGCCUCCAGAGCGCUUCUCUAUAAUCCUCUUUGCCAGACCCAAGUCUCCAAUUUUGGGCACAAAUUCAGAACCAACAGCAUCAGUUUUGGAGACAAGUAAUAUAUUCUCAGGCUUCAAAUCACAAUGCACAUAACCCAUUUCAUGAAUGUGCUUAACCCCCUUCAAAAUUGCCUCUGUAUACUUCCUUACUUGAAAUUCAGGCAACCCCCCAGACUUGUUAAUCAAAUCCCUCAUUGUUCCUCCAUCGGCAUAUUCCAUGAACAUAUUGAAAACCUUAUUGCCAUCAACACCAGCCGUCACAUCCUCUCCAUAGCGAUGGAUGAUAAACGGACAGUUGCUAAACGUGUCAAGAAGUGAAUUUUCCCUCACCAACUCAAGCGCAUCACAGUAUAAUGUUGACUUCACCGCGAAAAUUGAGGGCAAAACAUCGGCUCUCAAAUUGGGUUUUUUUACCCAACCCAAAUACACCGACCCAAAUCCCCCUUUUCCGAGUACCCGGCCUCGAACCCACUCACGGCCAGCAACCGACAAGCUCUGUUCUUUCUUUGGCCUUGAACUCGAACCCAUUGUUUGAAAACAAAAAUUGAAGCUUUCUGAUGAAAUAGGGUUUAUGGGUCUAACAAAACGAAAGCAAAGAGACAGAAAAACAGAAACUGGGUAGCAAGAGAGAGAGAGAAGAACUCGUUGAAGCAGUCGGUGAUCAACGAAGAAGACGAUGAAAUGUUGAUGUGAAAAAGAGGGCUUCGAUUGCUAACGCUCAAUGGUUUUUCCUCUGUGAUUUGAAGCUGGUGAAUGAGGGUUUUGAAAUCAGAGUAUUGUUUUCCUGGUUGUGUUGGGUUUAUAUAGCUUAACGCGUAACCUUCAAACGGUCAUAUAUCUUGCGCGGCUUUUGCUUUUGCUUCCGCUUCAAUUAAUAAUCUAAUAUAAUAUUUAUUUAUUUACUUUUGAAAUCCACUGGAAAAUAUCUUUCGUAAAUCUUAAGCCACUCCGAUCACAAGCUAAGAACUCUCAUGACCGUUGAUUUGGGGAGAUCUAGUGGUAAAUGGGAGAUUUAUGACUUAAUUUGAUUUAAAUUAAAUUAAAAUAUAGAAUUUAAAAUUCAAAAAAAAUAUUAAAAAGAGCUCACGUGACCUUCACGUGACCUUUACUUACCUCAACAAAAAAGACAAAAAAGAGGAAGACAGAGCUCAGAAAAAAUCGAAGCAACACAGCUCCAUUUCCCUUCUCCUUUCCUUCGUCCCCAAAUCUCUGAAUCUCUCUCUCUGCCUGGAAUGUUUGAUUUUUCAAAGUAGUUUCUCAAAAUGAAGCGCAAGAAAUGGUCGGAGCUCGAAGAGCUGACCCUUCUCACCAAGUACUCGGAGCUUCUCAUCUCUGGGGCUCUAGCCAAGCUCAAAACCCGUGAGAAAAAAUUCAAGCCCAUAGCGGACCACGUGAACUCGGUGCAUCAUCUUCACGACCCAGUAACCUUCCCUUUCAAAUGGUCCUGGCGCGACGUCUCGAUCAAGGUCCAAAACAUGCGCCACCAGUACCUGGGUGUGAAGCAGAAGAUCCGGGUCUCCAAGGACGAGUUCAACUGGAAAGAUGGUGAAAACCACUGGGAGAAUUUCUUGAAGUACAAAGAAGUGUUUGGGGAUGUGGAGCUUGAUGUUAAGGGCAAGAGGGCGUGCGAAAGUGAGAGCCUUGAUGUUUUUGGGGAUUGUGGGGACUUGGGGUUUGGGAUUGACUCUGAGGAUUUAGAGGAAGAAGAGGACGAAGAAGAAGAAGAACCAUUGGAAGAUGAAGAAGAAGAAGAAGACGGUAGCGGUGAUGGCGAUAAUGGUCUCGAGGAAUUAGGUAGGAGUGAAGGUGGUGAAUUUGGGGGUCAGAGAGAAAUUGGAGAUGUGGGUUUUGCUCAAAAAAGGAAAUUGAGUAAGGUUGGAUUACAUAGGAGGUUGGGGUUGGUCAGUGCACAAGUUUUGGACUUGAGGGAUGUGGUUGUGAAGAGGGAAGAGAGGAGGAGAGAGAGGGAGUGUAGGAGAGAGAACAGUGAGGCUGAGAGAGAGGAAAAGAGGAAAGAACUUGAGUGCAGGAGAGAGAAAAGGAGGAAUGAGAGGGAGGAGUGGUUGGAGGAUAGAGAAUUGGAGUUAGAAGAGAGGGAGGUGAUGUGGGCAAGAAAUGAAUUUGAGAAAAGGUUGAGGCUAGAGAGGGAAUUCGAUGAGGAGCGGCGUAGAAGGAUGAGGAUGGAGGAGAAGAGAGAAGAGGCAGAGUUGGAGUGGAGGGAGAGGAUGGUGAGUAUGCAAAUUGAGCAUGAGAAGCAAAUGAUGCAAAUGCAUGCUGAAGCGUGCCAGAACCAAAUGCAGAUUCUUGGAGUCAUGGCUAGGCUAGUUUGUCAAUUUUUUGGGUCGGUGAAUGAUGGGCUGGGAGGUGGUUUAGGGGCUUUGCCACCUCAGGUUUUGCAGAAUUUGCAGCAUCCGGGGGAUUUGGGCCACAAUGGGAAGCCGGAGGCUAAUUCACCUUCUGAGUUCCUCUAGACUGUAAUUUACAUGCUUGCCACAUACUACUACUGUUAUACCUCUAGUGAAAUGUUAAUAAGUUGAGUUCUAUCAUUUUUUAUUUAUUUUUUGUUUUAUCUUUGUAGUACGAUGAUCGAAAACAAUGAAUUCUUCUUGAUGCCUAUACUUGCAGUAACUAUUCUAAAUCUGUAACGAUGGAUAUAUAUAUUCUUUAUAUUUUAGAAUGUCAGUCUUUUUCAAGCGGAAGUUACCUAUAUUCUUUUGAAUGUUCAUCCUUUUCCUACUUGCUGUAUUUUUCUGUCAUAUUAAUUCUAUCUGAAACUCAUUAAUGUUCAUGUAUUAAAUCAUACAGUUAUAUAUUUUCGAAAAGAAGGAAUCAAGUCUUGUUGUGGUUGUUUACUUAAUAGGCUGUUUCAUCAGUUCUGUCAACCAUAUCAUUGCUGGUUUUGCAAAUUAACUAUAAAAAGGUUUUUUUUUAAUAAAUAAACUUUUAAAAUUUGGAUUUAUCAAUUACAACUAUGAAAAGGUUUUUGUUAUGGUCUGCUAUUGUUGCUUUUCGGAAAAGAGGUGGUAGCCAAUGUUGUUAUGACACCAGAGUGCAGCUUUUUGCUUCAACGUUUGAUUGUUUUACAAGGUUUCAGGAUGGGUUUAAAUAUUAAGAAGAAAAGGUUGUGGUUGGAGAAAAACAAGAAGUAUAUUUCAGAUGCUAGAAAUCAUUUAAAUGUGGAACUAUUACCAUGCAGUCAAAUUUCUGAACUUAGGAUUGUGAGUUUCUUCAUAUGCUAGAAACCACAUGCCGCUCCACAUACUUUAGAGAGCAUCAUUAUCCUCAUAAUGCAACUCCGAUAUAUCAUCAUGGUGGAUUCAGCGCUCAUCAUUAUGACAAAUAUCAGGUAAGCAUGCCAUCCAUACAAUGCUUGGGCCACUAGAUCUGUGCUAUGCAAUAUACUUAAGCUUUUCCUGUUUCUAUUUUUUUUAGAGGAGUUGUUUCUGUUUCUUUAUAUGUAUUUUGAGCCUUUUUCUACCAGCACCUUGAUUGGUGUUAAUGGAAGUUGUGUCUGUUUCUCAACAUUCAGCACUGAGAAUUACAUAAUCCUUGGUAAGUCAAUCAUGUUUCUCUUUCGUACCUUAUCUUUUCACAUAACAUAGUAAUAUGGUUCAAGCAGACAUAUAUAGUGGCACCCUCUAUGAAAUUGUUUUAGUAUUUGUGAUAGGAUAAGAGUCUGAGGCUUAAAGGAUUUAAAGCUAGCUUUUAUUCUCUUUUUCUCUUCCUCUUUGUUGUUUCAGUUUUGUUUUAUCCUUUUUAUUAUAUGUUAAUUUUAAUCACAGUUUGGGAACUGCACGCUUGAUCAAUGUCUGUAAAACUUUUAUUCAUCUGUGACAAAACUGAUACUGUUGUUUAUUGGGUACGAAUUUUGCAAAACUGCUGGAAUCUGAACCCCGGGGAUAUAAAAAAAAGGGUCCCUGGAAUGGAUGCAAUUAGUGAAAGUCUCAAUCUGAAGUUCUUCCCUGUUUGUCCUGAUCGCAUACAUGAUUUAUGCAUGGGGAGAAUUACCUUUCAGGACAUUGAUCGUACUUCAUUUGUGCAUGUAGACUGAGUUUUACAUUCUCUGGCUUGGUGUCUGAAUUCUAGAGGCUGCUGAUUAUACAUGCAGAUGUUGAGAAUUAUUGCAACUGCUUAACCCAGGUGGGUGCUUUAUAUAGAUUUAUAUGCAAAUUCAGUGCAUAGAACAGAAAUCUUUGUUAUUACAAUGCAAUUUCAUUUACAUAGAAAUCUUUGUUAUUAUAAUGCAAUUUCAGUUGCCUGUGUAAUUUUAACAGGGAAUGUGUAUAUAGUACAGGCAUCAUCAUUAUUACAGGCUGUUUGGAAGGUAAUUUAAAUAGAUUGGAAAAAAUCUCCCUGUUUUCCUAGAUUCCAAGAUCUUGCUUACUUUUAUAUCUCAUUUUGUGAUGAUGGAAACUACACUUUGUUUUCAUAAUUGUGUGGUUGGGCUUCAAAAAUAGUAUUCAUGGAGUGUAACUGUAAAACCCUGAUGUUAUUAUUUUAAAUGAGUAGCGCGUAUGUGGUUUAUGCGUAGGAAACGUGUUUUUAUCUGUGUUGCUCAUGUUACUUUUCCAAAAUUUGGGUUGAGAUAAUUUCUAAAAGAGCAGCCUUUCUCUAACCAAGGAUCUCAACUUUCUCUUAUCUCUACCAGACCAUAAACCUUUGACCUUGAGAUUGAGAUCAAAAGACUCUACCAUCAUGAAAUCAAUUAUGCCCAGAAUUUUAACUUAAAAGGUCCUCACUUCCUUCCACAGCAGUGUAGACAUGAUUUUCAGUUGUAAAUACCUACCUAAUUUUGUCCAGAUUUCAUUAGGUUUUAAAAGCAGUGUGUUUAACCACUGUUCAUCCGUGUUAAAAUCAUAGUGCGAGCCCCAGGCUCCUAGACUCUCCACUGAAGGUUCAUUUGUCCAUAUCCAAAGUGAAAAAUUCUUUUUUAAUUUUUUCCCCAUUUUUAUUUUGCAUGUGAAAAAUAGCUUGUGUGUUUGUUCUUGUGAGAGGUACAUGCUAAUAAAGGUGCUCAUAUUCCCUCCAUCCUACUCUCACACCUCCUGUGACAUCUUGAUAUGCAAUUUUCUGGAUGUUACCAAUUGUGCUGUUUGCCAAAUCUCUAAAAGAAUAAUGGACUUUUAUUUUUGGUAAACAGAAUAGUGUAAUUUAUUGUACAGAUCUUCAAUGACAGUUAUCUUCUAUGAUUUUUAAGAAUUUUGUUUAUUCCUUUGUCCUAUCAUGAUGUACCAUUUUCUUUGGGGCACAAUCUUUGAUCUUCUUUUGUAAAAUAUUUGAAAUCUUAUUUAUCUUCUCUAGAAUUUGUUACUUGUUAUCUACUUUGUUCUGGUUUUUCGACUUUGAUAGGGUUCUUAUAAAUCCAUUGACAUUGGGCUGUAUGGACGUGCACUUUGGAGCUUUCUUAGAUGGGUAAGAGGCCCUUUAGAGCUUAAGUUUUGGGUCUCUUCAAGGCCCUUGUAAGAUUCCAGGCUUCAUCCCUCUAUUUAGGAAAAAAAGAAUAGGCUUCCCUUUUUCCAAGAAGAUGAAUCUAAUAGAUGCAUAUUUGUCUUGACAAAAUUAAUUUUAUGCCCUGAUUACUUGGGGAGGUGCUGUUCAAUCAAGUUUAGUAGACAAGUAACCUUUCUCCCUCUUUGAUUGUAUACUUUAACCUUGAAAUUAGUCUUUGGAAAUUCCAGUGAAUCAGGGAUUGAACAAAUCACGUUGGUGGUAGCUCUUGUUUCAUUGUGACUUGACAUGGUUGUUUUAUCACUUGUGCCACUCCAAUGUUUUUAGCUGACAACAUCAUCUUUUUUAUUCUGUUUUCUUUUUGUUUUGUUCUUUUUUAAUUUACUUUAGGUAGUUGCACAGCAGCGUGAAAUUACGACUUCCAAUUCAAAUUAGAAAUGGAAAGACAUAUUUGAUUGGUUGGUGUGGAUGUUUGAUAAUUACACAGCUUUCAUGUUAGAUAAGUAUCCCAUUCCAAUAUGUGAAUUAUUUUCUAUAGACCAAAUUUUAAAUUAAUUAUUGAAUGGUUAGCUGUUCAAAGGAUAACAGAAAUUUUAAAUUGUUUGUCUUACAUCAUCUUGUACUGACCAGUAAUAUAGUAUCAAGACACCUUUGAUGACUAUUGAAUAUGGCAUAAAAUCAUUGACAUCUUGUGAUCCUUUUUCUUUUCCCUUUGAGAUAGUGCACUCAGAUUUCCAUGAGUACAUCAACAUGGCUGAAAGCCCAUGACAGUUGUGCCUGCCAUGGGCUUCCGGCCUUUCUAGGUUGUUAAGGUUGUAUGUAUCGACACCAUGUAGGCAGGCACUUAAAUCCAGAAAUAUCAGUACUUACGUUCAAGUUGGGAGAUGUGUGGAUAUAUAUUUUUUAAACAUGAGCUCUUUGAAUUAUUAGAUAACAAAACAUUUCCAUGUCAACCAGUUUUUGGUAGCUGAACCUUGCUGGCUGCAAACUGGGGAGAUAUGACAUUUCUUGUUUUUGCAAUGGUGAAUGAGGAGCAGUGUGACUUGGAGCAUGCAUUUUGUGAAGAAGUUUCACACGUCCAUAUGAAUAAAUGGAUGAGAGUUGCCCACCUCAAAACACUAAAGCAUUAGCAUGAUGCAUGUUCAUGCUACAUUUUCGUUGUGUCGUCCCGGAAUGUCGGGAGACACACACACACAAACAUUUGAAUAAGUUUGGUUGUAUUGGGUUCGAUUAUGUGUUCAUUAAACAAGUUAUAUAAUUAAGAUAUGUUGGUUCUAUUAGACAUGUUUAGGGAGUGUGGCUGUUGCUAAAUUAUUGACAACCAAUGAUGCUAGAAAAUAUGGGUCAAUUUAGAGGCAGCUUAUACAUAGCAUGUGUUUAGUGAAGAUGAUUUGUUAGCAUAGAUGAAUGACACCACUGGUUUCAAAGUUUGAUUCGAGUCAAAGAGCAAUAGGGGUUUUGGUAGUUAAGGGAAGUACUUGAUUGUUAAAAAUAAUAAAUUAAGGUUGGCUGGAAUAAUAUACUUUCCAACAUCGAAUUAAGGUUUAAUAUAAUUGAGAUUUUUGUUUUCUAGAUGAUUGAUUGAAAGGUCAUGUGAGUUCUAAUAAUGCUUAGGGGAAAAAUCAUUUUUAUUCACCAUGUGGUUUGGCUCAACUUCAUUAUUCUGCAUCAGGAGUGGAAUGGGGCCACUUUUUCGUUGUGGCUUAUUUCCUUACCUUCUUUGUGGUGCGUCAUGUAUCAUCCUCACUAAUCCAAUCAAAAGUUUGCAAAACAUUCCCUAUUAAUGAUUUUAUGGUGGAUAUGAUAAAAUUUUACACCCCCUCCUAAUCCUCAAAUUUGUUGUAAGUGCAAGUAAUUGUAGUCACUAAUGCCUGUCUAGCCAACAGCAGAAACCAUAGCUGACAUUUUAUAAUUGGGUUCUACCACAGGGUGGUAAAGGGUUUCACCUAAAGCUCUUUCCGGUUUUUGCUUCUGCAUAAAAAGAAGUGGUAUCGACCAACCACAGUUUCAUUUUCUGCAUUUGAUUUGUGGCUCUUAGACAAGUUGCUUUGCCUGUUCCAAUACAUAAUAUGAAUAUAAGAAAUAUUGAAUAUCGAAACAAAUGAACUUGUGAGAUAGGGACAGUAAAUCAAUAAUUCUUAAUUACAUCCUUUGACUUGUAACCAAGUUGAGAUUUCCAUAAGCAUAGGCAGUUUAGACUGGUUGUUGCCAACUGUUGGUCAAAUAGUAAAGGUAGUUAUAAUGCUUUUGGGAAUUUCAGGGCCUCAGUAUGUUCUAUAUUCCUUUUUCAUGUUAAUGAAUUCUCUUGAUUAUUCAUCACCUAGACUGUUGUAUUCAUAUGAUUGUGUAGAAUGUGUAGAACGAUGAUUGAUUCAAGUUGAUGAUUUUUAGUUCUGAAUCUGCUUGGACAUUAUGCUGCAUAAUCGGCAAGAAACAAUAGAAUAGAAAUUGUCUUUUUUUCUAUCUGCAGAACUCUGUGAAAUGUGACUGUUAGAUGGAGCAGGUUUCAUGGCCGACCAGUCCACAUAAAUGUGGAUCAGAUCCUUCUAGUGGGUACAUUUGACAACAGGUGGUGUUAAAUUAAACAUUAUGAAAGUUGAAAAAUGAAAAUCAGGACACUGAGAAGCUGAGGGGGAAACGAUAGUGAAUAUGGUGGCCCCUUGUAGCCUUAACUGUGUAGCCUUUUUCCAUUAAUUUUUAUGCAAUUAAUUGGUUUGAAAUCUGUCUUGUAAUUUGUUUGUUCAUACAUGUUAAUCCUGUCGUUUCUAGGACUGUUUGUGAAAUAAAGAGUAAGAAUUCUGCAACAUUCUAUUGUGGCAGCUUUUUAGCCUCUUUUGGUAGGUAAAGCAGUUGGGAGGGAGCAGCAACUGUUACUAGGUAAACAUCAUCACACCUUCCUUCUAUUUUACGCACACACAAAUGUAAUGAUUUUAUUUUUUAGGUGAGUGUAAUAUUAACUGGUUGUUGGGCUUUCAUAUCUUGUUUAACAAUUGGUUUCAUCCCCAAGGCAUUAGUAUGUUUUGAAAUAUUGGAUUCUAGACUUAUUAUCUUUUUCACCCACCAGUCUUACAUCUGCAACUUCAACACCCAAUAUCCAAUAUCCAGUUCUAAAAGAUUAAGGCCCUACAAAAUGUAGGGGUCCUGCUUAAAACCUCUCUGGCUGAGAGAUUGCAUUUUGAUAUGUAUUUUAAGUAAUUUUCUUCUGUCAUAUAUCUGGAUGGAUAUCCAUUCGUGCUCAUCCUUAUCUUACAUAUGUUCCCCACUUGCCCCCCACCACCUCUGUGCCGCUCACAGCUUCAUAAAAUUUCACUUAUGUAGUUAGCAGGAACCUAAAAUUUCAGUGCAAGUGGACAAUACAUUAAGAUUUCUGUUUGUUGUUUAGCCUUGAUUUUGUACGUAGUGAAUUCAGUUCCUUAUUAGUGGACCUCGAAACCUUAUCAAGAUUAUAUUAAGGGCCAAGCUGUUGAAUGUUUCGUUUUUGGUACUUGUGCUUCGGAAUUUUUAACUUCUUGUCUUUUUAACUUUUAACACUUCUUGCUUCACUUGGAGCAGCGAUGCAAUUUAUUUUAUUUUCUCUGGCAGGUGUUGGAGUCUGAGGUCCUGGUUUCUUAGGAAUCCUUAACUUAAAAAUUUCUGUGUAUAUUGUUUACUGUUGUUUCCUUUUUCUGUUACUAUAAAACAAUGAAAGAAACUUGUAUGCCUAGUAAAAGUCGCAUCUGUAUUUCUAAUGGGAAAACUGCCUCUGCUUUCAAAAUUUGUGUUGGUGAGGAUAGAAAAUAGAAGAAAAUGAGGCAUUUGAAAUGGUAGUUGAAUAUGUUGCUAGGCCUUCGGCUUGGAUUGUUUUGGGAAUUUGGGGUGGCUUGAGAGAAUGGUAGGUCCCAAGUUUUGCUGAGACAAGAGGAUAUUGAUUAUGAAAAAGAUGGUUGCUCCUGCUUGGAUCAAGUACGAGACUCAUUGAGAUGGUCCCUUCUGUUUAACAAAGACCCUGCACAGUAUUUAUUUCUUUCUUUUUCGUAUGCACCAUUUGGUACGGCGAAGAGAUGGUCUUGGCUUCGGUUUAAAAAGACCAUUUUAUCCUUUCGGGCUCAAGUGAAAUGACAAACUAUCAUUUCUUUCUUGAUAUAAAAUAUAUUAUUUUAUUCAUCAUGGGACAUUGUAUUGCAGUAGGAUUUUGUCAACCUUAGUGAGGAGGUCCUUUUAAUUCGAAUUAAAUUAAUCCCUUGUCAAAAAGGGUCCCAUAAAAAGGGGUACAUCAUGCAUGAGUGUAAUGUUUCUGGGUUUGCCGGAAAUGACAAAAUGCAUUUGUUUUUCCUAUUCCUUUUUUCCCCCCUUCGAUUUGCUAUUGUUCUUUUUUCUUAUAUGAACAACUAAAACACAUGCAAGAAGUUAUACACACAAACAUGGGAAAAAGUGUUCUCAAAUUAUACACUAAAUAACCCAAUCUUAAACCCAAUAAGUUAAUGUCCAAGCUCGUUUAAAUUGAAAACAUCUCUUAUUUUUUAGCAAUAAAAAACAAACAAGGUUCUGCACAAAGUCACCAUAGUUAGUAAAUGACGGGACAAGGAUAAAAUAUAAUAUGUACGUGUAUUAUUCGGCAAACUUCUUAAAAAAUAUGCGGUAUAUUAUUCGGCAAAUUUCUUAGAUGUGAUCCAAAUUUACAUUUCCAUUGCAACAUUUGCUUGACAAUAAUGUUAAGGGAAAUUCUGGUCCACUUCGGGCUAUUCUUUGUAUUCUUGUAUUGAUUUUCUGGAAUUAAUAACAGUCCUCCUAAUCCAAAAAAAAAAAAAAAAAUUUGUUAAGGAAAAUUCUAUUGCCACCCCGAAUUUUUUGAAACCACCCCUUUAAUUUUCAGCCUAAAGUGUCGAUUUUACCCUCCCAUCACUUUCUUCGCUUAGUUAAUAGCCCGCUGGGCCCCCCGAAAGGGAAAAAGAGAUGAGAGGGAUGGGGGAAUGGAGGGUUGCGGGCACCGACAGCAAUUCUAGCGACAGUGGAAGGUGGGGGUGGUCUCAAUAGGGGUAAGCUUGGAGAUUUGGAUAGGGGUAGGUUUCAAUCGAUUGGGUGCGAGAAUUAUAAAUUUUCAAAAUGUCACCUCAUUAAAAUUUAAUUUAAGAAAUUAAAUUGGAGACCUCAUCCUAGGCCUAGGCACGGAUCAAUUUGGAAUAGUAGAUGACUCUUCCGUUAACCAAAUCAAAGACUUCGAUAGACCAUUUUCUUUUUCGUUAAUUAAACUAAGAACUUCGGUAAACUUCAGAUUGGUUAACCUAACAUUUAGUUUGGAUUGGUUCGGUACGCCGAUAGUACCAUAAUAAAAACAUAUUAAUAAAAAUAAAAUUUAUAAUUGUUUCACAUUACAUAAGUUCUUGAACAAAAACACCAAAUUAUCCUUGUAAAAUAUAAAAAUCCAAUGGUCUAAUUCAUCCCAAUAUGAAAUAAAAUAACUUAGCAACUAUACCGUUCAAUAUGUACUCAAAAUGUACUGGGAACCACUUGCUCUUUCAUUUGAGAAUCUACUCCUACACCAUUAAACAAAUUAUGAAAAUAGAAAAUGGAACACAAAUGAAUGCAUAGGAUCAUGUGUCUUGAGCCACUAAAAUUAGAGUUUAAUUACAUUUUAAACAUUAGAAUUACGUCAUUUGAAUCAUCAAAACCCCCCCUUUUGUUUAUGUUUGUUGUUUGAAACUUUGAGUGUUAUUUUUACUGAAUUAUGUACAAAUAUGUAACUGAUUUUGACAUUUGGUCCGCAUUGGAUUCUUUAGUUUUUCAUGUUGAAUCCAACCAUAUAAAGAACAUAAGAUUUGGAUUAACGAUUGGAAAGUUAAAGGUAAAAAAUGAGACAAAGAUCGAAACUAGAAAACAUAGGAAGUUCAUAAAUUCCUCUAUGACCUAAAAGUGCUAUAGUACCCGGGUGAUAAAAAAGCGAUACACUAGUGAUAAAAUAGUGAUAUAUAGGUGAUAUAGGAGCGAUACAAAAGGUUGAUUGUGUUUACCUUUGGUUUCUUGUUUUGCAUUUAAAUAAUAAAGUAAGUGUAUAUAUCAUAUCGGUACGAGUUUCCGUCUGGUUAGGAAUAUUGUUACCUGUUAACCAAACUAAACAUUUCCAUACAGGUCAGAUCGGAAUAAUUAAAAUUAAAAAAAUAAUUAUUUAACCAAAUCAAACCAAACCGUCGGUACACGGAUAAUUGGAAUGAGAUGCCCACCCGUACUUCAUCCUUAAAAUAAAAACCUAAUUUAUUCCUAAUUAAAAAUGAAAACAAACACCUAACUUGACUAACGGCUAAACUUAACGUCUCUAGAAGUUUUUUUUUCCUUCUUCUUCCUUCUCUGCACGUCUCCACCCACCUCCAAAAUCUUUUCGUUCUCCAAUCUUAUUACACAAAAACAUUCUUAUUACCAAGAAAAGUAUGAGCAUAAUAAGAAUCAUCUGACACAUCGAAUAAGGAACUAGCUCCAAGGGUAUAGGAAAUUGAAUCAUUAAGUUCACCCAAAUAAUAGAAAACCUGGAGUGAGAAAUAACAUAAUUCAUUUAAUAAAAAAAAAAUAGAUAUAGCAAACUCUACGUAUUCAAAAAGAAACAGGGAAUUUGUGCCUACAAAUGAUGAAGACAGACAAAGUCUUCAAACCUACAAGUCAAAUACAACUAACUCUCUGUUCUUCUAGAACUUCCACUGUGAGUUUCUAGUUGGGAUGCCUAUGUCAGAGUUUCUUCGAUCAUAUGUGAUCGUUAGUGGAGGCACAUCAGAUUGUCUUAAUUUUGAUAUUAGAUUGCUCCGUUAUUGUAAUGGCCCUUUGUGGCUAGUGAAUUUUUUAGAUGAAUUAUGAAUGCAAUCCAAGAAUUUCUCAAAAAAACAAAAGUAAACCACGUUGUAGAACUCAAUAUGAUAAUGCAACAUUGGUUGGAAAAAAAAAUUGAUAAAUUUUUUUGGGAAGUGUAUAGCAAUAAUACUAUCGGGUUUAGGGCUUUUGUUUACACAAAAACCAUCUAAGGCUUAUGGGGUUUUACUUUAGGUUUAAUUUUCGAGUUUAGGGUUUUGUGGCUUUCGUGGGUUCAUAACUGAGGUUUCGCUUCUUCUUGAGUCAUUAACCAUAUAAAAUCCCUACUAAGAUCUUGAAAGCAAUAAAAUAAAGUUCACAUUUGUGCAUUUUUCUUGCUUUAAAGGAUUCUGUUAAAGGGAUUCUUUUUCGAAAAGCAGUCGAAAGAUUGGUCAAAUAAUACUAUUUGAAGAACACAUUUGCGAGACUCAUUUUACAUUAUAAUUCAAUGACUCAAGUUGUUUUCUUUCUAAGUUUUUAUUCGAAAAUUGGCAUUGAAAAAUAUCAGUUAUAAAUAUAAAUUGCUUAGUUAUUUGAUUAUCAUACCAUUCCACUAUAUUUAUCGAUAACACACCAUUUCAUAUAUUAAUUAAGAGACUUUUUUUUUAUUAUUUUUUUAAAUUUAAAUUUAUUUUAGAAUUAAAAAAAUAAUGGGUAGUUGUGUUCCAUAAAAAUUGGAUCCAUUAUUUGAUUUUUCUUUUUAAUUUUUUUUUAAUAUGAAAAGUGUGAAUUUACUAUACUAUCCUCAUUUAAUUAAUAAUUUCAAUUCUUAAUAUUUGCAUUAACCAAGGGCAUUUUAUGGUAUUUUGAAUGUUUCACCAUUUUCUGCAUUUUGCUUUAUAUACAUAGAUAAUAGAACCAAUUAGCAUUGAGGCAGCAAAGACCAAUGCACGAAUUGCAGUACAAUAGAGUUGUAAUUCACUAGUUAUUCUAGAUGCUCGCCAAAUCUGAAAAAACUCAGAGGUUAUUUGUAUUCCUCGGAAACCCCCGCCCACAUCACCAUUCAAUAUUUCUUGACCCACUAUUGGCCAAUCCACCUGGGCACUAGGUCAAAUGUGAGUACUAGGAUCACUUAGCCAUAAAUAUUCAAUUUAGAUGAUGGAUUGAUCGAAAGACCAAGGUCUAUGAUGAUAUUCAGCCAGAUAACGCUAAGUAAUAAGAGGAAAGGAGCUGCAUGCGCAUCAAGUAUAUAUUUUAUUCCAGAAAAAGCAGCACCAAACAAAAUGUUGUUGGGUUGGAAACCCUAGUGAUGAUACUUUUUGUGAGUCAUCAAGCCAAAAGCAGCCUUGGAACUAUAUAUUACAUUUUACGAUCAUGAUGAUCAUGAUGAGGACCAAAAGCCACUGAGCUCUUUGUAUACAAAUAUGGUGGAUAUGCUCUAGCCCUUUACAGUCUCAUUUGGUCAUCAUAACAUUCUGAUGAAAUGCUUUGAUGAUCUUAUGACCCGUAGGCUCUUACUUUUGAAUCCGUCUUUUUUAUGUAUGUAUGAAUUAAUGUAUAAUAAGGAUAUUAUGAGUCAUAUUUUUGGGCUUACACGACAAUGUGAUAUCGUGAUACAAACCAUUCAUUUUUUAAUUAUUUUUAAAAAUUAUGAUGAAGAAAAAUUCUCAGUCAAAUGAAUUAACAAUUUCUUAGCUAUUUUAUUAUUAUCCCGAUCAAAUGAUGAAAUAAAAAAGUUGGGUAUCUUUUUUCCUUUAUAAUGUUAAUAAAUAAAAUAAUCAUGGAUAUCCUUAAUUAUAAGUUCAAUCAUGCAUCUAUAUCAUUGCAGAUGAAUCUUCUUUAUGGCUCUUCUAGACGAACAACAGAACAGAGUAUAAUUUAUACGUAUACAAUUUCCAUGACAAUAUGAAAACAAAUUAAUGAAGAACUAGGGUUUUAGUGAAAUAAUAUUCAGAAUUCCAGAAAACAUGUGGAAUGGAAAAUGACAUAUACUUAACGGUAAACAACUGACUAUAAAGUCUACAAAGAAGGCACACACACACACACACGACCUUAUCUUCUUCAAGCCCGUAUGACUUUGUAAGAGUGAGACCCACCUAAACAGCCAAAACCACCAGUCCAAGUCAACCUUCUCAUUUCUCACCUCCCCUCUCUCUUCAUGAAGCAGCUCUCGAGCACUAUAUCUACGCCCAUCUUCUGCCUUUACAUGGGCCUUUCUCUCUCUCUCUCUCUCUCUCUCUCUCUCUCUCUCUCUCUCUCUCUCUCUCUCUGAGCGAAAAUGAGAAAACCUUGCUGUGAAAAAGAAGGCACAAACAAAGGAGCUUGGUCUAAACAAGAAGACCAAAAACUCAUUGAUUACAUUAAAGCUCAUGGGGAAGGCUGUUGGCGAUCUCUCCCCAAGGCUGCAGGUGUGUUUUGGGUCUGAACAACAUGAGUUGUGUGCAUUUUUAUGUUUGUAUAUAGAAAUAAUAGUCUACUUUGUGUUCUUUUAUGUUCCAAAUUAUUGAUGACUUAUAAUUUGUGUGAUGUUGUAUUAUUAGGGUUGCACCGCUGUGGCAAAAGUUGUAGGCUAAGAUGGAUAAACUAUCUAAGGCCAGACAUCAAACGUGGAAACUUUGAGCAAGAUGAAGAAGACCUCAUCAUCAAACUACAUGCCCUUCUUGGCAACCGGUAUGUACCAUCAAUCUUUCCUUCCUCUCUUUCUCGUGUCAAAUAUUUAGUAAAUGCAUAUGUUGACCAGACUGUCUGAUAAGAAGCGAACAUUUUCCUACAUAUAUGGCGUAGAUAUUCACAUGUGUUAAAAGUGUUAGCGCGUAAUUAUAAAGGUCAACUAUAUAGCUAAUGGUGAAAGUUUCGUGCAUGGGCUGUUAGGUGGUCGCUUAUUGCUGGAAGGUUGCCAGGGAGGACGGACAACGAGGUGAAGAACUAUUGGAAUUCUCACAUCCGGAAGAAGCUAAUUAAAAUGGGCAUUGAUCCCAAUAACCAUAGGCUAAACCAGAUCAUUCCUCGUCCGAAUCCUCAAAACGACUGUGUUUCUGCUGCUGCAACAUCAUCUGGAUCAAUGAGCAAUAUUAGUGCAUGUACUAAAGCACCAAUCAAGUCUUCACGUGAAAUUGAUCAAAGGGCCUCACAAGCUACAAGUGUUCUUGAAGAUGAAACUUCUGGUUCAUCAUCUCGUGACUUGAAUCUCGACCUCACCAUUGCUUUUCCUAAUCCUCCACUACUAGUUGGGGAAGAGAUGCAAAAAAAUAUUAAAGGGUCCUUCACUAUGGCGAGAGAAAUCGAAACCAACCUUCAACAUUCACCCACUCUUGCUCUUUUUAGAUAAUACAUAUAAUUUGGAGAAGGAGAUGAAUUGAUCCUUAACUAGCUGAUCUUGGCCAGGAAUUGGAAAAGGAGGGAAUUAAAAAGGGAAUUAUUGUUUGGCUGAUCAAGAACUUUGGCUAGUAUUGACAGAUAGCUAGCAAAAUUGUGGCUAAUGGAGGCAUUAACAUGGAGCGAAGGGCCAAACACUUCAUCAUGAAGGCAGCUAGAAUAUUGAUCCCAUUGUAUGAUAAUCUCAUUAGGCUAUAUAAAUUCUUGGAUGUAGCAUACAAAUUGGAGAUGAACUGCAAAAAUCAGUUGAUCACCAAGAAAUGAAUAUGCAUGGGAAGGGAAAUGUGUGUUGAUUGUAAUUUGUGUUCAGGCAGGGGGAAAAUUGAUGUUGAAUGACAAAUAAGCUAUAUGAUAUACAUAUCUUAUUUUUAUAGGAGUUCUUAGUUUUAAAACCAUGAUGGGCAAUUGAACAUACAUAUUUUUGUUGCUUAAUUAUUCUUUUCCUUUUAUUUUUCUCAAAUGAUAAUUUGUUUCCUUAGUUAAUGAUAUAGUUAUAGAUUUAUGAACUAAUCUUGGACAUUUCUUAGCAUGUGAAAGUUAGGUAUGUGAACACUUGGUAAUUCCAAAACAGGAAUUGGGGUGAAGAGCAUCUUUAACACCAAAUCAGGGUGCUGUUGGUUUCCAGUCAUAAAGCACAAAAAAUCUGUCAACCAUAUAUAUAUAUAUAAAAAGCUACACAAUACUGUUUUUGUAUAGUAGUACAUUACAUUAAUGCUUAAUUUGUAUAUCAUGCAAAGCUAUAUAUAGUUAGCCCUCUUUUACUGUAUUUGUAUGAAUUAGCAUCAAGAUAAUAAAAAUAAAUCUCGUAAACGGGUCUAGCACAGUGUGUGUGUAAGAAACCCUCUCCCCCUUAUAGUUUAAAUUAUUGCUUUUAUUUAAAAAGAAGAAUAAAGCAAUCUCAUUAAUCUCAUAUUAGUAUAUUGUGUUAUUCUAUUUAUUUCUUCACAGUUAAAUGAUCAAGUGGAUUCCGAUUUGAUUGAUUAUAUUUUGAAAAGAUAAUCCUUGACUGGUGACUCAAUAAUUAAUAUACAGUUCCGAUCAUUGAAUUCAUCGAGAGAUGGUCUCAAUACAAUUUUUUUUCUCCCUCUUAAAAGAUGGAGAUCCGUUGUUAAUGGGGCCGGGAACUAUAGCUUAAUGGGGUCCCCUCUAGAGUCUUUCAUAUGAAAUGAACUCCUAGAAGUACAUACUAUGGCAACUAAACAAUUGUUGAUUGCAUAACAGUCAUAAUUAUCCGCCGUGAUUAAAUGUUAAGGAAAGUAGGCCAUCAUGAUCAAAGACAAGAUUUAGAUCCUCCAGUGCCUUUAAACAUGUGCAGUUUCCUGCAUUUUGAAGCUAAAGUCUUACCAUCCAAUUAAUCUAUUAAUGGCUAAAACCCACUCCACAAUCUCCUUUUUCUGGUCCGGUCACUUUCGCUCCGUCUCAUUCUCAUCGGCCCAUGCAUCGCACAUUGAGAUCUCUCUCCCUCACCCACUCAUUCUCAUCCCUUUCUUUUUUCUCCUUCACCACUCAUCCGUCUUCUUUCUUUAAUGCUUCUGGCGCAUUAUAUCAUGCAUAGACUAGAUUAGAAAAAAUGCCUAUAUUUCAUGUGCUUAACUUGGAGGAAGAAUUGAGACUAUCUUCAUAAGAAGUUGAUGACUAAAACUUACCCCUUCCCUAAUCCCCUUGAAAUUGGUGGUAUUAUGAGGGAUAAGUUUUAGUAAUCAACUUCUUAUGAAUAGUCCUCCCUCAUCUUCCAAGCUAUACAACAAUAUCCAUAUAUAUUAUGUCUUGAUUGCACAUCAAAUAUGGGCAUUUUGCUAGUCUAGUCUAGUCCAAUUUAGUCCUCCUUAACAAACAAGGGCCUUAUUCUUUUAUUAAUUAGCUAGGCAUCAUUACGAGACUAGACAAAUUGCAAAGUUAAUUGUAAAUUGAUCAUUUUAACAUAAUUGUGGUUUCUACACUAAUUGUUGUGAUUGUGAAUCAUACAUUGGAAAAUUAAAGCUUUACCUAAUAGUAAACUUUACUUAAUAGUUUAAAAGAUCUUGAGCCUCUUCACACAUUGUCAAUUAAUUUUGAAUUAGAUGCUCACAUCGCAUUUUUUAUAAUAUAUCAAUUGUAUAAUUGCGCAUUCUAUUUUUGUAUUUCAUAAUCAAGAAUAGCUUUCUCCCCUUUAUUUAAAAAAUAAAAGAUGAGCCAACGGUGUCUAAUCCAGUGGAAAGAGCCUUGAUUUGCAGACCAAUGGUAUCAGGUUCGAACCCCAUGACACCUUGACAGUGUGUGUGAAAAAAACCCAUCUCCCAAUAUCACUUUUAUAAAUAAAUAAAAACAAAACAAAAUAAAAAGGCAAAGAUGAAAGACGGAAAAAAUCAAAAUGAAAAUUGCAGAUGUGGAUGAUAGAAAUGAGAGGAGGGGGUUUUGGGGUUAAAAUCUUGAGGUAAUGUGAUAGGUGAGGCCGUUAGGUUGGUUAGCUGGUAAGGAUUCGUUUAAAUGUAGCAAACUGCAUGCACAAGUUUUAUGGGCAAAGGAGAGUUAGAUCGAUCUGUAAGCACAAAUAUCGCUGCCUAAAGUUCUCAACAGCUCGUCAAGCCUCAAGGACACAAUUAAUUCCCACAUAAUCUAAUUAUAAUGGUUCAUAAAUAAUCCAUAAAGUCAAAGGUCCACACGUUGCCUCUCAGCUCACAUAAAAGUCGAAUUUACAUGUGUAGCCACCCUUUCGGCCCACCAAGGACAUUUUUGCCACAUCAAUGUCACUAUGCUGUAAGAGGGCUUUGACGCCAAGCCAGAGCACUGCAUGGCUGAUUUAGAAUAGGAGAAAGUCUGGGGUGUUUUUUUUUAUAGGGAGUUGAUUUUUCCACUUCUCAUUUCUUUACGUAUACUUUUUUUUAAAUAAAUAUUUUUUAAUUUAUUUUGUUCUUUUUCUUUCCUAUUUUACCUUUAUUCUACAUUAAUUUCUUUUUAUUUUACUUUUAUAUUAUUUCUUUUUAUUUAUACUUAAUUUUUCAACUUACACUCUAUUUUUAGUUUUUUUUUUUUUUUUUACUUUAAUUGAGUAAGAAACAAUUAACACUUAUAUUUGUCUAGGCAAAAUUACAUGGUCUACUUGCAAAAACUCAUGCCCCACAAAUAAACCUUGCAUCCAUAGUUUUUUCUUUUCUUUUUUUCUUUCUUUUUUUUUUUUUUUGUAGAGGAAACAAAUUUUAGGUGACCACAAAGAAACUGAAAUGCAUCUAACAAUAAAUUUUUACAUUUUGUUUUUCCAUGUUCUUCUCAGUCAUAACCUUUUGGAAAACAAAUAUUGAAUGAAAUUGAUGAAAUUGUGGACAUGAAUUGAGUUCUCAGAAUUUCGGAAAAUGAAAUUGAGUUUGAGACUAUGAGUUUCAAAUUCACAUUAAUGGAGUUCUCUUUGUUUCAUAUGAGAUUAUUUCAUACAUUCAUUUCGUUUGGAUACCUUCUCAGAAAGUACAAAGUGCAAGGUACUAAACAUAAGCUCUAUAUAAACAUAAGCUUAAAAAGUGCAAGGUACUAAAUUUGCAAAAGAUAUGUUGUCACUUCAAAUUGACCAAUAUACAAAUUUACCAAAUCAUAUUGGUGAACAAGAAAAUCUAAUUUGUCAACCAAUCUAAUUAGAUAACAGCAAGUCAUUAAAUGGAUCUCACUUCAUAUUUCAACUAGGAAUUAAAUGAUCAUGUGAUAGGGUAGAGAGUAAGCCAUGUACCACACAGAAAUAUCCUAUUUUGAAUUUCCUGCAAAUUGAAUUGACGUUCAGAUAAAUAAAAGAUUUCAAGUGUAUUAUUUUCUUAUAGAUGAAAUUAAACUCUUAAAGAAAUAAGCCAUGUACCAUAAGUGCAAAUAUAUAUUAUUGUCUUAUGAUACAGAGAUUGAAAAUUUGCAAAACCAGAAUUCAUAAGCAAGAAUCAAUUUUUUUGUUAAGAGUAAGAAAAGAGUCAAUGGUGAACCAUAUGCAACCAGACCUCAGCAUAUCAAGUGAGAACAAAAUGAAGAAAAACAUAAUAGGAAGAAUUACAGUCUGCAUUUAGAUAUAAAGAGACAUAGCAGAUGCAAAUUUUAUUGUUUUCAACCCUUUUUCCAUUCAAGAAAGUCCUCUUAAAAAUUCACAUUCAUGGCUCCCGAAACAAUUUAUAGUCUGCAAAUUUUAUUGUUUUCAACCCUUUUUCCAUUCAAGAAAGUCCUCUUAAAAAUUCACAUUCAUGGCUCCCGAAACAAUUUAUAGACCAAGCAUGCCCUAAAAAUGCAUAAAGAGCAAUAAGUUCAAAGAUUCCAUUAUGAAAACUACGGCGGGUUGUACCACCUUCUAAGCCCUCCUGAAGACAUAAGUUUGUGGAUAAAUAAAAUUACAGUGGAUACAACAUCUAAAAAGUUUAAGGCACACAACGUGAUGAUUUUUAAAUUCAAGUUACAUGAAUAUGAAAAGACAACACUUAGUUUAUAAGUUCUCAAAUUUUGAAGAUAAUUACUUACCCAAAAGUAAUUCUAAAGGGUUCGCCUCGGGUUUCGAAAAAUUCGGGGCGGGUCCUUUCAGUUGGUAUCAGAGCUCUAGGUUCAAUUUUCUGUGGACCCUGCACUUUAUGUGCAUCCUUAAUUGUGGGGAUCAAAAAUGGGUUCCAUCUCGGAAUGGCACAUUUGCGACGUUGAGGACGUCGCAAAAGUCAAAUUAUUUCACAAAGGAAAGAUACAUAGACCGCCGGAGCAUAAGAAGGGCUGGAGCUUUACCACAGACAGUGGUUGUUUUAGGAGUUCCGGAAGAUUACGAAUAGAAGCCGAAGGUUUUGCAUAGGAUAACACUUGUACUUAUGGUACAGUUGGAUGUUCCUAUGACAAAGUUGUUCAUGAGUCCGCAUAAGCGGGAGGAUAGGGAGUUGAUCAACCUGCUUCUAGGGAUCCUCUAUUGCCUGAACAUGUUACUAAUUUUCGACUGUGUGCCUAGAGCACCGAGUCGAAGAUACUAAGAGCACAACCUUUCUCUAGGGCGAGCAACUCCCUGACAUUGGAUUAAGGGAUCCAAGAUCUGAAAGGUGACGUUAGAAUAAUCGAAAUCACAAGUGUGGAAAGGAUUAAGAUAGCCUUAAUUCUCUUACAGAAAGAGGCUCGUGUGUGGUGGGAAUACUGUGGUCAAAUCCAAGAAUGAGACCCAGAUGGAUUGAGUAAUCCUACCUAUGGAGAUGGAGAGAGUACUUUGGGGUCUCAUCUCACGUGAGCACGUUUGAGUAGAGAUCUUUCAUUGGAACCAGAAAUGGAUCAUGGUAGAGAGAGAUAGACGAUGCUUACAAUUCGGUAAAAAUGAUCCUUUCUGACAUUCCUCUCAAGGAAUCGUGUUGGCAAUGCUGCUUAUCGAUUCUAGGGAAAGAAGGAAAAUAUCAAGAAGUCAAAGAAUGAGGAUCUUCUUUUGCUAGGAAAGCUAGAAGAGAAUCAAAUCACAAAUGGAAGCGUUUAGCUUUCCAAGGAAGAGCUGGGGGAAACCCGAGUGGUAGAUGCGGGCCCAAUGCUCAUAACCUUUCGAGUGACAGGUAGAAAAUUUCGAGGACGAAAUUUUUAUAAGGGGGGUAGAUUGUAACACCCCGACUCCAAAUUUAACCCUUAUUUAAAUUAUGUAAAUAUUUAAGGGCAUUUUGGUCAUAAUUUAUAUUUGAAUUGUUAGGUUAGCGGGUUUGGCAGUUGGUUGAGAAUUAUUGGAAGGCCGAAGGCCAUUUAUGUGGAUUGCAUGAAAUUAUAUUGUGCAUGCUGCCAGUUGUGAAUAUUAAAUGCGUUUUAAUGCAGGUUGACGUUUUUGGGAAAUGUCCAAUUUAUAGGGGAGACUCUGCCGAAAUUUCGGCAGGAAGUCUCGAUCUUUAGUAAGUGGGCCUGGCAUCGGGGUGAUGUCAGGAAUUCCAAAGGGUUCACCUCGGGUUUCAAAAAAUUCGGGGAGGGUCCUUUCAUCUACCUAUCUUCAUAUAUUAUCACUCAAACCAAGCUCCAAGAGUUUCUCAUAUUUUGAAACUAAGGGUCACGUGGUUGGUUACAUCCCUCAACCUGUUUAAUUUUUUAGAUGAAUUAGUGGGUAAGACAAGGACUAAACCGGUUGAGGCUGAAUUAGAUGAGAGUGAUAAAACUUUAUUUAUUUCUUGUAAAGUUGUAAGAUUUUGGGUCUAUUUUUAUAAGAGAAGUUAUAUUUUGGCUUCUUUUUAUUUUUAUUUUUACUUUUUUUUUUCUCACGUACCGGACACGGGGUUUCCACCGACCCCCAGGUCCGGGGCGUGACACCCAGUCCAUGUAAAGUGGGGUGAUACCAAUUGCAUCUCAAGCAGCAAUAUAACUGUUGUCUCUCAUGUCAAGGAGGACAAAGGAUAACAUGCCAUCCAACAUGUCCACAAACUCUUCCCCAUGUUCUUCAUACUGCCAAAGAUAAAUGUUAAUAUGAUGCAGAACAACAAGAACAUAUAGGAAGAAAAACGAGAUUCGGACUCAAAUUGGCUUUUGGCAUCUCACCAAAGGUGUCCAGUAGAGAAACUAGAAAGACUCUACUAAAAUUUGAAGGUUUCUCAUGCAUCAUCAUGAAAAACUAUAAUAAGAAUAUACAGAUAAUACGAACAGGAAUUCACAAUGCCUUUUUUUUCUUUUGUUAACUCUAGUUUUAAAAGCUUACAAAGUAGCCUCUUUUAUAGGAGGUGUAGAGUGAUGAAAAACCUAAAUUUUGGGGCAAAGGGAAAUGCUUUACUGAUAGAUGAAAUCACUCACAAUCGUCGACUUAAGAAUCGUAUGAGCGUCUAUAGGUGUAUAAAAUCAAACUUGAAAACUUAGAAAUUAACCCAAACUAAUUACACUAAUAGCUAGAGAGUGAUGAGGAGAUGGAUAUCCAUACCUCACUUGACGAAAACAGUGGCUGGAGUCGCCGAAAAUAGUGACUGAAAGUCAAAAACCUCUUGAACCUUUCGAAGCUCGUCGCGACUCAGGGAGGGCAAGGGUGGCUGGGCUUUAGCCCUGGCCGAAGCGCCGGCCUUGGUCGGAGAGUCUGAGAGAGAAAAAGACAAUGAUGGAGGAGAGAGAAGAAAGAGAGAGUUUGAGAGGGACUGAAAAAAAAAAAAAGAGGAAGAGGGAACUGAAAAAAGUGAGACGGAUACGGAAGUUAGGGCGAGAGUUUGAGAGGGAUUGAAAAAAUUGAGAGGAAGAUGGAAUCCAGUGCGAGAGUUUGAGAGAGAGAGAGCGUGAAAACUUUUGGACUGGCGUUGACUACCUUUUAGGCAUUUGUGAUUAUGAGAGAUUAUGCUAAAGGGGAAUCAAAGGCAUCGUCAUAAAAAACCAAAAUUCGUAUUGAUGUCUUUGUACCUGUAUAGUAUCAUUAUUUAUAAAAUCGAUGCCUAAUGUGCUAAUAGCAUCAAUUUUUUGUUUUUCCGAUGCCUAUGUAGUGUUGCUGAAAGUGAAAUUUGGCAUAGUGUGUUCACUAAAGCUAUACAAGUUGCUGGUUUUACUCAGUCCAAAGUUGAUUAUUCGCUUUUUACUUGCAAAAAUGGCAAGUCAUUCACCACCCUUUUGAUCUACGUCGAUGACAUCAUGAUUACAUUAAAUAAUUUGUCUACCAUUAAUGCUCUCAAGCGAUUACUUAAUACUUGUUUUAAGAUCAAAGACCUUGAUGAUCUUAACUCUAUUUUGGGCAUUGAGGUCUCACGUUCGAGGAAAGGUAUUUCUAUUUGUCAAAGGAAAUAUGCAUUGGACAUUCCAAAAUUUCUUUUGAUACAAGAGAGAUACUUCAUGAUCCAGCAAAGUAUAUAAGGUUGGUGGGACGCUUAAUUUAUCUCACCAUAACAAAACCUGAUAUUAUGUAUUCAAUACAUAUACUCAAUAUAUUUAUGCAUGAGCCUCGCAAUCCACACUUAGAUGUCAUCAUGACAGUUUUUAAGGUAUCUAUACAGUACCCCAGGACAAGGACAUUUUUUUCUUGCUGGAAAUGAGAUGAAGUUGAUGGCAUACUGUGAUUCAGAUUGGGUGGGAUGUCCAACAACACAGAGGUCAACAAGUGGCUCUUGCGUGUUCCUUGGCAAUUCUUUGAUCUCACGGAGAACAAAAAGACAAAAAAACAGUAUCUCUUUCUUCAGCAGAGGCUGAAUAUCAAGCAAUGAUAGGUGCUUGCUGUGAAAUUGCUUGGUUGCGUUAUAUAUUGCAAGACCUGCAACUCCCAGACCCAGGACUAGCUAUUUUACACUGUGACAACCAAGUUGUGUUGCACAUAUCCGCCAAUCUAGUGUUCCAUGACAGAACUAGACACAUUGAAAUGGAUUGUCAUUUUAUUAGGGAUCAAAACUUGGAUGGAACAGUGUUGUGAAAUUAUUGCAAGCGCAUAAUCCACACAAGUAAUAUAGAGAUAAGUGAAAUGUCGUUCCCAUGAAGCCUGUAAUUUCCUUUUAGUACCAAUUAUAAUUAAUUCAUAAGUUUAUUUGAACAAUUGAUUAAUGAGAGUGAUUGAUUUAUUAAACUAAGUUAAAACAAAUAUGAAAAAUAGUAAUUUAAUUAACGGUGGAAAAUUUGAUGAGACACUAGAGCAUCCGAUUUCACCAUAACCAAUUCCACUUCAUUCUUAUAGCCAAAUAACCAUAAUUACUACCCAUGUUGACAGUUGAUUUCUCAUAAUUCAUUCGAUAUCCCCUCUCCAACUCAAAUAAUGAACAACCCAUUCUUUCUCUCGAGCAACGGAUUUAGAAAAAUCAAGAACCCAUUUAGUUCUAUGAGAACAUGCAAAAAAACUGCAUGAGUCAUGUUAGUCCCUAUAGGGCACUCAUUGAAGACAUGAUAUUUGUUACGAGAAGCAAACAUCAAACAUCUCCUCUCGGUCUCCGCUUGGAUCAUCAAAACAAUUAAAUAUUGGACAGAUAUUCAAAGCAUUAAGAAUAGUAACAAAUACUCAACAUGAAAUAGUAAUAAGAAAUUAAUAUAACUAUAAAAAUUAAGUAUUCAUGGUUAGGCUACAUCGUAGCCCUAGCAAGGAAAAUUAGUUCAUGACAAAAGAAAAGAAAAACAAAAGAAUUCUUGUCAUAAAACAUAUUUUGCAGAUGGAUUUGAUCUUUCGAUUCUCCACAGCAACACCUUCGUAAGCUCCAAAAGCACCGCGGCAGCAACUCUUGGCUCUCUUUCUAAUAUAUUUGUGGGUGUAUUGAAAUAUGGUGAAAAAAUAUAUGGUAUCAAGAUGGUCCAGAGAGAGAGCUUAGGGUGACCUUAUAUAGUUUAAAACAACUAAACCCUACUCCAAUAAGGGCUAGAAAAAAUCUCCUAAAGCAAAACAAAAUCCCAAAUAAUUAAGGAAACAAACUAGGAAACAAUCAUUCUUUGACUUGAAAACACGUCAGCCAACUUCACACACUUUUUGGGGUAGUUUCACUUCCUAGAAAAUUCUGGGAAAAUAUGAGAACUGUAGCUUGAUCUCUAAGCUUUCCAAGCAUAAAUCACAUACCUCUAGAAAAAAUCAGAAAGGUCUUCAAAUCUUCAAUCUUCCAGAGCAGUGCAGUUCUGAUGGGAUUUCAACUUAGACUGUCUUGACUUGCAAGUCUACAGCAUUUGGCUUGGUAUAAAAUUAUGAAACUUUGAUACAAUGAUCUUCAAUGCCUUAGUUUCUUCUCCAAUUGGCCUUGCUCUAAAAUUCAUUCUAAAAGUCGAUUUUUAGUCGAAAUCCUUUCAAGAGCGUAGAAUAGCUGAAAAUAAGAAAAGUAAGGUAAUAAUGCUCUUUUUAAUUAACUUCUCCUACAAAAACCAAAUAUAAGAGGUAUAAAAAUAUAGGAAAUAAUGCAUUUAUCAAACAAUAAUUACAAGAUAUAUUUCAUCUCAAUAGCAAGUAGCAGACGUGUUUACAAAGGCCUUGGGCAAAGAAGAUUUUUUGACUACUGUGUGCGAGUUGGGAAUUCACAAUAUUCACUCUCCCACUUGAGGGGGAGUGUUGAGAAGUCAAUUAAAUCCCAAUACAUUAGGGAUUGAAUGAUUAACCAAAUUAUAUUUAAUUGAUUGUACAUGAUUUGCUUUCCUUUUGGCCCCGUUUGGUGGGUUGACUUGGAAUCGUUAGGAUAGGCCUUGAAGCAUUGGACUGGGCUGGCUUGGACUGGCUAAGUUUUGAGUCAUGUCCUACUCAUUCUUGCACACAACAGACUGGAACUCACUUAUCUUUUUUAAUAAAUCAAAAUUUUAUUUUAAUUUUUUUAUUAACAAUAUUCCAACUCUUUUCCAGUAUCUUUCUUUAUAAGCUCAAAAUCAUCUCUUUAUCAAAUAAAAUCAUCUCUUUUUAAAAUAAAAUAAAAAAUCAAAACACUUUUUCUAUUAUUUAAACUUUACAAGAAGAUAAUUACAAGAGAGAAAUAAAUUUUAGUUAGCCAAAUACAAAUUGUAAUUUGGAACAAAAGACGAAAAAAAAAUCAAUGGAAUAACUUUCAAAUUCAAUAAAACACAAACUAAAGAACAACACUUAGAAGAAAAAAGAAGAAGGAAUUAUGCAAAUUAUGGAACCCCAAUACCAGAUCUGAAAAAAUCUUCAAUGAAAAGGGAAAACAGACCCGAAAAGAUCUUCAAUCAAAAGAAAUCAAACGCAAAAGAAGAAAAAAAAAACAAAGCACUCAACAUCAUCAACACAUCUCAAUAUCUAACAACAAAAUCGAAAAAGGAGUUCUUUCAAAUUAUCAGAGAAGAGGAGAAUAGAGAGGGGAGAGGGGAAGAGAAAGGAGAAUAGAGAGGGCAGAGGGGAAGAGAGAGGAGAAGAGCAAGGAGGGAGGGGAAGAGAGAGGAGAAGAACUUUAGAAGAGGCUUGUUUGGUCUCGCUGAGAGAAGAGGCGUGCUCGGUCUCGCCAAGAGAAGAGAGAAGAGGCUUGCUUGGAAAAGCCUCAGAUUCUAAACCCAUAUAUGGGCUUGGGUUCUAGAGCCCUAGUUAUUUGGGACAUGGAUCCUAGACCUGGCAAACGGAUUUUGGGUCAUGUUCAUGUCAACCCGUUUGACACGACACAACCCCUUAAUUUAACAGGUGAAAAAUACCAGACCCAAAUACGACCUGUUACAAUUCGCAAAUGAUCUGACACGACCCGUUAAGAAUAAACCAAAAAAAAAAAAAAAACACAGCCAACAACCACUCUCUCUGUCCUUUUUCCCUAAAUUUCCAUCUCAUAAACAACAUCCAGAAAACUUACAUAAAGAAAAACAAGAAGAGAAAAAAUGGUUGAUUAGAUUAGAUUAUUUAUAUAUAAAAAAAAGACAGAGAGGAAGAGAUGAGAGAUGCAGAUAAGAAGAGAAGAAAAGAAAAAAAGGAGAGAUGGAGAAUGACAGAAAGAGGAAGAAGAAAAGAUAUAAAAAAAAAAGGUGGAGAGAAGAAGAAGAGAUAGUGGGGGGUCACAAGAAGAGAAAAAAAUGGUUCAUUAGAUUAUAUUAGAUUAUUUAUUAUACAAAAAAGAUAGAGAGGAAGAGAUGAAUAAGAAGAGAAGAAAAUAAAGGAGAGAUGGAGAAUGGCAGAAAGAAGAAGAAGAAAAGGAAAAAUAAAAAAGAGACGGAGAAAAGAAGAAGAAGAUAAGAGAGAGUGGGAGGUGAGAGACAGUAAACGGAGAAAGGAAGGGGAAAGAUGGAAAAGGAAUAUAAAAAAUAAAAUAAAAUAAAGAGAGAGGGAGGGAGAGAUGGAGAGAGAAGGAUAAGAACCAAAAAAAGAGGAAUGGUGUUGGAGGAGACUUGUGAUAUUUUUUAAAAAUACAUUUAACAAAACUACCAAAUUACCCUCCUUAAUGGGCGGAUGUGAAUAUUCGCGAAUUGACCCGACUCAACUCGUUACCUUAACGGGUGGCUAACGAGUUCAACCAUUUUCAACUCGACCCAUGAAGCUCAACCCAAAUACUGAUAAUUUCGUACGAAUUCGUGUCGUGUUAACAGAUCGUGUGCAAUAUUGUCCAGUCCAAGACACUUAAACUCACCAAACAAUGGCUAGGACCCAUGUCCAUUUUAAUUGAGAAUAUCCGAUCUCGGCCUAGUUUGGGAUUGCUGUCACUUUUAAAAAAAGUUGCUUCUUUUGUACUUUGAAAAUAAUUAGCUGUAAAGUAAAAUAGCUUCAUGUUUGGUAAACAAUAUUUUUAAAGUGCUGUUAGUACAAAGAGCAGUGUCAAAACCGUUUGAUAAAUUUUAAUAUAAAAUUGUUGUAACUGUGAAUAAUGACUAAAAUAAACAUGAUGUUGAAAGUGUUAUGUACUAAUCAUAUGGUGGUAGUGGUGGUGAUGGAGUGGAGGUGGUGGUGGUGAUGAAAGUGGAGUUGGUGGUGGUGGUGGCGGCAGUGGCAGGCAUGGAGGUGGUAGCGGGUGUUGGCUGUGGAGGUGGUGGUGGUGGUGGUGGAGGUGGAGGUGGAGUGGUGAGGAGUGUUGGUGGUGGUGGUGGUAGUGGCAGAGGAUGAGGAUGAGGAGGAUAUAGUGAUGGUGGUGGUGGUGAUGGCGGCGGUGGUUAUGGAGGUAGUGAAUGUGGUGGUGCAAGUGGUGGAGUUGGAUGUGAAAGUGGAGGUGAAGUCAUUUUUUAACAUGAAUGAUGAUAUUUUGGGAAUUAAAAAAAUUCAUUAAAGAUUUAUCUCAGCUUCUUUUGAAAGCAGCUUUGAAAAAUAACCCAGAGCCUGUUUUUAAAAGCUGUUGUCAAAAGGCCACUGCUUUUAAAAUAAUUGAGAUAUUUUAUUUUUACCAAACACCUUAAACUACUUAACUUUAAAGUGAAGCAGGUUUUUAGCGAAAAAAAGUAAUCCCAAACGGGACCCUAGUCCAGUCCACCAAAUAAGGCCUUAUUAGUCUCUUAAUUGUAGAAAAACCUGUAUAUAAAUACUCUAACAUUGUAAAGAGAAAAUCAUCCAGUAAUCAAAUAUUCUUCCCUUGAUUACAAUUUUACAAACUUGGUCAAACUGUAGCGAAGUCAAAUAUGAACAGAGGCACCUGAUGCAAGCGGAUCGAUGGAGUCGGCUCCCAUUCAACAUAUCUUAUCCGUUUCAAAUGUUCCCCAGUGAAAAACGUUGUCCUGAAAAAAUAGGAAAGCCCAAACUUCAUCUCGAAAAGAAAGACAUGAAAUAUGAACAUAUAUUAAUAUAAAAGAUGAAAAGAUAGCCACCACUUUUCUCAAUGGGCAUCUCCAAAAGCAGAAAACAUGGCUGGCCUAAUAAUCAAAUACCAUGAUGACUUUCAAUUGGCAAAAAAAGUUUUGUCGUUAUGGANNNNNNNNNNNNNNNNNNNNNNNNNNNNNNNNNNNNNNNNNNNNNNNNNNNNNNNNNNNNNNNNNNNNNNNNNNNNNNNNNNNNNNNNNNNNNNNNNNNNCCACACAAACCCAAUAGAGGAAUCUCAUUUAAUUCCCCAUUUUCACACCAUAAUUUAACUUAACACACACACACACACACACAUAUAUAUAUAAAGAAUUAAUCUUAUCUUACAUUAAGAGAUAUCUCAAACUAAUAACAUGGGGAACACAAUUGGAGGAAGAAACAAAGCAAAGGUGAUGAAGAUCAGUGGGGAAACCUUCAAGGUCAAAACCCCAAUAAGAGCAAGGGAUGUGGUGAAGGACUAUCCAGGCCAUGUGCUUUUGAACUCAGAAGCUGUAAAGCACUUUGGUGUGAGAGCAAAGCCAUUGGAACCGCAACAAGACCUAAGGCCCAAGAAAAUAUACUUCCUAGUACAACUGCCAAAGUUUCCAGAGGAAGAGAAACAAGUGCCGAGAAGAGUGCGUUCUGGCAUUCAAGUGAGUGCCAAGGACAGGCUUGAGUGCCUGAUGCUGUCUCGAAGGUCAGUUUCGGACCUUACGAGUGUCCGAGCCGCGUCGGCCGGCUCGGAAGGUCCGGUUAGGAUGAAGGUUAGGGUGCCGAGGGCUCAAAUGGUAAAAUUGGUUGAAGAGAGCAAUGAUGAUGCGGAAAUUGCUGAGAGGAUUAUAGAGCUUUAUAUGGCUAAUAAUGGUGGGAAGGUGGAAGCGGACAUGGCGGAGGAGGAGGGCGAACAAGGUGUUUUGCGGCAGCGGAAACCGGCCGGCCACGGUGGCAUCAGAGUCAAAGAGAACCUCAAGCCGCGGCAUGAGGUAUUAUCUUUUUCCUCAUUUGUCUGCUUCCUUUCCUUCAACAAAAAAACAAAGAAGAUAUUUAAGUUACUUUUUUCUAUUUUUUAGUGGGGAAAACCACUCGAUUCACGUGAUGCACUUGCUAAAUAGAAGCACUUACUAAAAAUCUGCUUAAUUAGAAGCACUUCCUAAAUACCAAUUUUUUUUUUCAUAAAGUGUUGUCUGAAUAGGCAUCUAAAAGCUUUAUAAAUUUUUAAUCCUCAAAUUUGAUGGGGUGAUAAAGUUAAGAGUAAUUUUGUAUAGAAUGAGCUUUAGGAGGAGGAUAUUAACAAGUGAAACAUUAUAAUCACACAUCAAUUCUUUAAUACCAAUAAUACUUCAACAAGUACAUGGAAAACGUCACAAGAAUAUAUGGCAUUGUUCCUUCUUCCUACCCUAAUUAGUUUUUAAUACACUCAGAUUAGAUGGAACUCAAAUUUGACUUAUGAGGGCUUGUACAAUUUUCUAUUUUUGUCAACUCUGCCGUUAUGAGAGAUAUGGAGCUUUACUAAUUUCUUUAUUGUAAAAUAUAUAAUAGAUUAUUAAAUAAAAGUUUCUAUGUCGUAUAUAGGGUGGCACCACAUUAGAAAAGUGGGUCAAUCUCUUUUCCUCCCUUUAAGUACAUUCGGAUUCGAUUCACGUAGGAGACAAUCUUGAGGUAAUCCAAUAUAAUAUUUCCCCUCCCCCUCCCUAGCGAAUGACAAAAAAAUAAGCCUCUAUAUCAAAGCCUUAGAAUGUAAUUAAAUGGGAAUGUACACAUGUGGAUAAGUACGUGAAAUUUCUCUUUUGGGGUUGCUAUAGACAAAUGGUUAGGUGACUCAGAGUUUUUUUAAAUAUUUGAUCUCUUUUAAGGGUAUCCUACACUUGAUGACUCUAAUAUUGUAGUGAAGGCGUCUAGAGGAGGGGUCUUUACACUAGGAGGAGCCCUGCAAUGAGAAGGGGAAGGGAAACAUGGAUCCCCAGGAAAAAAAAAACAAAAACAAAAAAAAACAAGAGGGGGUUGGGGGUGGGGCGGGAGAGGGAGAAGUUGGUCACUCCAAAUAGCAUUAUUCUAUCUCACUCGGCAAUUUAUGCCAACCACAAAUGUUUUGGUAGUUGUACAAUGCACCGACAUGCUCAUAACCUCCCACAAAAAUGGUCAAAUGUUUUUUUUAAUUGGCCGGUAAAAUGGUCAAAUAUUUGAUAUAUUCCCGAUCGUUAACAAAUACCAGUCACAAUUGUCUACGUAGUCUCUUGCUUUAUGACAUUUUUGGAAAGUACUUGUCUGCAGAUUGUUCUACUAAAUAAAUAUUAAAUACAAUGUCAUGGAAGCAAAGUAGCCAUGGGGGAAAGAGCAGUACAUUACAUCAUGGAGUCGAUUAUUCUUGUUGGAUCUUUUCUGCCUAAAAUUUACCAUCUAAAAUUCAAACUAUUUUUUUAAAAUGCAUAUGUUAUAUUUUAUACUCGUGGCAUAAUAUUAUUGAAUUUGUGAGCUCCUCGUACGUGCUACUUCUGCAAAUUGAAAAAUUCUUUGACGGAAUCCAUCAGCAGAGACAAAUAUAGUUAUUUGUGACUGCUACAUUCAUACAUUUUCUUUCUUUCCAGAUACAAUCAUACUUUUUAUGGUUUUAUAUGAGUAGUUUACUACAUCAUAUUGUUGCAGACAAUAUAUCUUACAUGAAUUACAUAUGAAUUUGCAGAAGCGAGUGAGUUUUGUUCCUGUGGAAGAAGGAGAAAUUCGUUUAGAUACAGCUCCUCAAUAGCAGCCAAUCAGAAAGUCACAAAAAUUGCAAUCUACCUUCACCAGGCCUUCUUUACUGGUGCCCUUAAUUUGUAUAUAUAUGAAACAUACUUUCUUUUUGCAUAUAUAGUAUGAUAUUAUUAGCUCCUGUAAAAUUAUUACUUUGUUAACAUCUAGUGGCUCUUUUAUGGAAGACAGGUUUUCUGUCUCAAAAGAGCUUCUCAUGUUGGUGGGGAUGUAUAAAUUAUAAUUUGCCCAAUUCAAAGUGAUUCUCAACUCAAAUGUGUUCCCGCAUUUUUUGUGUAGUGAAAGGGCGAUUAGAGAACAUGCAUACACAACAUAUCAGUGUUCCAAAAUAUAUGUAUUUACGCAUUUUACGUUGUAUGCCAUCUCCAUUAAUAUAUAGAGAGGAAUAGAGCCGGUCUUGAGUUUUCUAGGAUUUGGGGUGAAAAUCUAAAUUGUGCACCUCUAUUAUAAAAAAUAAAAAAUAAAAAAAAAAUCAGUGACAUUCAAAUAGGAACUGACCAUAAAUUUAAAAAACCAAGAUUAAUUCAAAUCAAAAAACAAAAUAACAUACCUACGUAGAGACUAUAGAAUCAGAUAGAACUUUAACCUGCUAGUCUCAAACAUGUGACAUGUAUAUAAUAAAAAAAUAACCAAUAAACUAGAAUUAGUUCCUCUAAAAUUGUAGCUGCACUCUAAUAGUUUUAAAGUUAGUAAGUCAACGGGGUCUAACCUAGUAGAAAAGGGCCUUGAUUUGCAAACAAGAAGUCUCAUGUUCGAAUUCUCAUGACAUCUUAGUUGUGUGUGUGUGUGUGUGAGAAAUCUAUCUUCCCUUUAGUUUAGACUAUCGCUUGUAUUAAAAAAAAAUUAGUAAGACCCGUGAAUGAACAAUGCCCUUGGAACUAUAUAUGUGAAUGACAAAUUUAUCAUUAAUAUGGUUUAACCAAUGUAAUUUUUGUAUCAUUUUCAUAUAUUUUUCAAUAAAAGUACUCUUCAUAGAAUCAAUGAGUGCUAAAUUUAAUUAAUUAAUAUUACUUAAGGAAAUAUUUAUAUUUGAUUAAUAGAGGGUGAGAGAAUAUGUAUUCAUUAUCAUAGCCUUAACUACCCAUGAUACCAUUUGGAAACGAACGCAUCCAUAGGUACCCUCCACUCCCCAUCCAUCUCUCCCUGCUCAGCACACCUCAUCACUGGCCCAGUUUCUCUCUUUCCUCCCUCAUUCCAACAUUAAUCCAUGUUCACACCUAAUCGCCCUAAACGCUCCCGUAUUUCUCGAAAGGUAUGUAGAGUUUUGACUAGGAUGCUUACAUUGCACCGCCUACGUUCAUGUUGGUUUAUGUUGGCUUUGUUGGUUGUGGGCUGGUUGUUGGCUUUGUGGUUGCAGUCUCUUUGGUGCGAUUUUGGGUUCCAUCAGUGUGAAGUGGGCUCUUUUGGGGAUUUCUAGCUUUUUUGCAUGUUCAGUUUUAGGGUUUUGCGUUGGUUGAUUUGGGGCUUUUUUGCAUGUGGGGCAACCACACUUUCAUUGCUUCAUGCCAGAAUUUGCUAGAAUUUGGGCUUUCUGUUUUGUUUUGGGUCAUGUUUUGACAUUUUCGUUGUUCGACUUUGUUUCUAUGCUGGCUAAGUCUUUUGGAUUAGAACAUCUCCACGUAUAAGUUCUUUUCUCUUUCAAGGGAGUAGGCAUUCAAGUAGGAAAAAAUUUCAUAUGUUGCCUACUUAAAAAGCAAUAGGUAUAAUAUACUGCAUUGCAAACUCCCACACAACUAUACUUUGGUGCAUUGCAAACUCCCUUGAAGUGACAAAUUUUUUGAUAAGGCAAAUCGGUAAGAUGCAUGUCACCUAACAAGGGCGGAAUCAUGAAUUUUUCAAUUGGUGGGCUAGCUAAAUUUUUUAACUAAAAUAAAACUUUGCAUUAAAUCAUAUAAACCAUGCUAAUAACAUAUAGUAAAUCAAAUAAAAGUAUAAACCACGCAAAGUAUGCAUUAAAUAAUAUGUUCAACAACAUAAUUAAAAGUGUAACUUAUUGAAGUUGUGCCCUGCAAUCCUUGAGAGAAUUGAAAUCUUUUGUUAUUACAUCUGAAUUGAUAUUGUUAGCAAGUUCUUUUUCAAUGUAGAGAACCAUAGAAUAUGCUAGAAACUCAUUCUCCAUCAUGCUGCAAAGCGUUGUUUUAACAAGUUUCAUAGCUGAAAAAGCUCGUUCAGUAGUUGUCGUAGAAACAAAGAGAGUUAGCACAAGACGGAUCAACCUAUCAAUCAAAUGAUAUUUUUUUACCUUUUUUUUUUUUGUGGUUACAAUAUGUUUUUUACCUUUUUGUUUCAACUAAUCCCCGACAUAAUUCAGAGAGUGUAGACACUUUUUGAAGUACAAGAUGAUGAUGUACAUCUACCUCGUAAAGUUUCAAGUGGCAUCUCAAAAUAUGUAACUAUUUUUGGAGUGAAAUCUUGAUGAUAAAAACUCUCUGCAAGGCUGCAAAUUUUAUCAAUGUUAAAUGAUUUAAAAGACUCACUAAGGUCUAAAGCUGAACUAAGAAUAAGAAGUUCCAUUGCCCCUUCACUGACCUACUUGUAAGUGUAAGGAUUUUGUAAUUUUCUUUUGGCUUCCCUUGACAAUUUUGUAAUAGGACAAUUAUUGUAUUUCCUCAAGCUCUAGUUUAGAUUAAGAAUUACAUCUCUAGGUGUUCUUAUAUGGCUGCAUUAUGAUGGACAACAAUGUGUUUGACAAAGGUAAGUUUUGCAUUGCAUUACAGUGCAUUAACUAAAUUCCUGAAAAUUAUGACUAGUCAUCUUUCUUUCGUAUGACUAGUCAACUUUUGUAUUGUUAGAAUUUCUAGCUCACUGUUUCCAGCUGGACCCUACCCUUUUGUAUUUUGUCCUAUUCUGCGAAAUUCUCUACUGCUCUGUACGAUUCUAACCUAGGAAUUUUGGUGUAAAAACAAGUGCAUUCCUCCUUUGGCAGCUGUCACUUUGGUAGGCAAGUUUUGAAAAGUUUCUUUGCAAACUUUCUCUUCUUCCUCAAGAGUAACCUUCAUAUUUUUCAUCUUUGAGUUUUCCAAAUUGUUUUUUUUCUGAAAACUACAUUUGAAAUAUGAAAACCUCAUCUUGCUAGAUCAAACAUUCUCUCAUAUAUAUCUAGGUCAGAUUCAAAAUUGAUUUCUUCAGGAGUAUGGUUUCUUGAAGAAAUUGGUCAUUCUCCCUUUGAAUCCAAAUUUCAUUUUUGUUUGAGUUGAAGCUAGCCAACUGGUGCCAUGGGAUGAAAGAGCUGAAGAAGGAGCUGCCAUUGCCAUGAAGACCUAAGCUGCUGGUUUUGCUAAGCUGAAGAAGAAGAUUGCACAAAUGAGGUAAAGCUCAUCUUCCUAGAUACACCUAUGAUUUCUUGAGCUUGCUAGUGUUUCUUUGUAAGAAUCUUUUUGCUUAGUGGAUUGCCUGGUCGGUUGAUGAUCCCCAGUUUUUCCCAAUGGUGGGUUUCUGGGUGAACAAUUUCUGGUUUGCAUCUCUGUAAUUUUCUGGGUUUGUGUUCUUGAUAGUUGACUAGUCAUCGCAUGAUGUUCAUGUAUUUCUAGGUUUGUGUUCUUGCGGUUGACUAGUCAUCAUUUCCUGCUGUUUGGUGUUUACUUGAUUACGAUGUCUUCACACACUUUCACCAUAGUUGUUGCUAGCACAAGGGAUGCCUAGAUUGACGGGUCCUUCUGAGUGCCUAGGUUGUCACUAGUAAUUGUCUAGGCUUGCAGGUACAUCUUGGUAUGCUCUGUGUAUGUUCUUGGUUGUGGUAAUUCAUCUAUGAUAGUUGACUAGUCAUAAGAGUAUCUAGUCAAAGUCUAAAGUAUGUGAAGUUUGUUGUGUCUUACUUGAAUAUCAUUUAAAUCCCAAACCUAGGUCGGAAUGGACUGAAGCAGAAUCUUAGUUACUGCCCUAUCUAGCAACAGUUUUCACACCUCCAACACAUUCCUAAGGCUAAAUAGGCUUGGGACAAACUAAGGGUUGUUCAUGAAGGGGAUGACCAAGUUUGAAUACUUAAACUUCAAAUGGUGCUUGCACAAUUUGAAGAACUUAAGAUGUCUGAAACUGAGUCUAUCUCUGAUUUCUAUGGAAGAGUUGAGAUGAUCACAAAUGAAGCUAUGAGUCUUAGUCAACCUAUUGAUGAACUUCUUGUUGUUCAGAAGAUUCUACGUGUUCUUCCUUCUAGAUUUAGAGCAAAGAAACCCGCAAUCAUGGAAGUCCAAAAUUUGAAUGAAAUUAAACUUAGCAAACAUAUAGGCAAACUGAAAACCUAUGAGAUGGAGUUGAAUAUGGAAGAAAAUGUCACUAAAAAAUCAAAGAGUGUUGCACUUCAAGAAGUCAAUGAUUCCCCAAUUAAGGGUGGAGAAAAAUCCUUAGCUUUCAAGGAUGAGAUGGCCUUGUUUGUCAAAAAAUUUAGAAGAAUUCUCAAGAAUAAGGGGAAGUUUGCUAGAGAGGAGAGCUCUGGUAGUGAGAGAAAGUUUAGACCAUCAACUAAUCGGUUUAAUGAACGGAACAAGGAUGUCAAAUCAUUCACUAAAGAUUUUAGAAAAUCUGUCAAAUGCUUCACAUGUGGAGGCAUUGGGCAUUAUGUUGUCGAUUGUGCAAACAACCAGAAAAAAUACUCCAAAGGAAAGGACAAAGCCAUGAAAGUGAGCUGGAGUGAGAGUUAAAGUGAUGUGUCUCAAGGGGAUUCAUCAUCCUCUGGGAAUUAGAAAUCAAACCAAGAAGCUAAAUAAAGCCCGGGCCUUUUUAGCAGAUUGUGAAUAUAGCCCUAGUCUAAAAAUAUAAAAUACCAUUAUUGGCCAUUUUUAGAAAAAAAAAAAAAAAAAUCUCACUCUACCCAAGGAAAAAGCAAGUUAGCAGAUCUUUCUAAAAAUAGGUUUCUCUCAAGAAAUCCCAUGUGACUUUCUGACCUUGGAAAAGGUCAAAAUUUUCAACUAUCACAGAGGAGGUGAUAGGGAGUUAAUGAAGGCAGGUCUUACAGGAGGACUUCUCCAUUUUUUGCAGCCAAGAAACGAAUCAAAUCCCCUUUUCAUAUAUAGAGAAGCUCUGCACCAAAGCAAGUUACCUUUUAAAGAGAUAAGCAGGCUACGUUUUCAAGAGAUAAGUAGGGAGCAAGGAGGUUGCUCACCAGAAAAAGCAAACUGACUAUCAUCACAGACUGUAUUCUUUUUUAUAAAGAACAAACAAGGAACAAAAGAGAGUUGGUUUUCUUUCAGAAAAAGCAAGGAAAAGACCACCAUGAAAGUUGAUUGUUGAUAGUUCUACUCUGCCAAAAUAAAUAAACUUCCCUCUUUUAUGGCAUUGAGAAAGGAAGAUCUUUUGAAAGAUCUGCAGCCCAUUAUUAAAUAUUAGAAACCCCACUCUAGCAUUUCCUAUAAAUAUGAGAGGAGGUGAACAGAUCAAAAGACAGCCAAAAAAUCAAUCAAGACAAAAACUCUCAAAGUCACAACUGACAAAUCCAAAAAGAUCAACUGAUCUCAAAAGCUUUCAGACACUAAAGCAACCAAAGCUCUUUGAUCCACAAGAAACAAAUCAGCUAGAAUUCAAAUCUCUGAUUUUAGUUCAGCUCAAAGAAACAGUUUUACAAAAUGAGUCUUCUCUCGUUACAAAUUUGGUUCAACACAAGCCAAGUCAAGCAGAGUUCGGGUUUUUACAAUGUGAAAACCUCAGCAAAUUUACAGAAAGCCUUAGUCAAGCAGAACAGGUACCAUAGCACAGUUCCAGCUCAGUAACCAUCAAUCCAGCCACUUAUGUCCUCUUUAGACUAAAGAGGCCUUAAUUCUGCCCGUUUAACAAGCCUUCCAUGGUUCGAAAUAAAUUGAAGCUCUGCCAAACUCAAACGUUGGUAUCGAUUUCCAACUGAAACUCAUUAGUUGAAUGUGUUGACGAUUCAAUCCAACAUAGACGUAUCCAGUCCAGCCUAGUUUAGAGGCAGCUACCCAGGCAGAAAUCGAAGUCCAACGUUCUGUUGUCUUUUUGGGAGUUGCCAUUUCUCUCUUGAGUCCUAUAAUAGGCAGUUCUGCCUAGACAGUUUGUCUUUUUAUUUUUAUCAAUUCUAGCCAGAACUACCAGUUUUGUACUGUGAAAAAUUAUGAAUUCCUCAGUAGUCUAAGGCAAGAAAAGAACUUACUUGAGAGAUAUUCCUCACCCAAAUUCACAAUUGAUUGUUUACGAUCAGUCACUUGGGCGCAAGUUAUCUACUUUUUAGAAGUCUGCUAGGAUUUUAAACUGCUAGCAGUGGCACGCUCACAUACAAAAGAAAAUUGACUUGUUGACCACCAAUGGUUGUCAAGCCAAUGGGAAACUUUACCCUACCAUCACAGGACUAAAUCAAAACGGGUGAACACAACAAAUUCCCAUCGUUGCAUAUGUACAACUGUUGUCUAAUGAUUCUACUUCUUAUUCAGAUGACCAGUCAUACGAGUCUUUAGGUAGAAAAUAUAAUUGCUUGUUCAAAGAGACUUUUUCCUUAAAAGAGGAAAAUCUCAAACUUGAGGCUAAUAACCAUGAACUCCAACAUGAAGUUCUCAUUUUAAAAGAAACCAAAAAGGAGUUGAGGGACAAAUUUAAGUCCCUAGAGAAUGAAAUUGUUGAGCUUCUGUCAAUUAGGAGAAAUCUAGAAAAUCAAGUAAAUGUUCUCAAGGAAAGCAACAUUGGUUUCCUCAAGUCAAACAAACAACUCUUAAGUGAAUUGAAUGAGGCAAAAAGUAAGAUUAUAUCUAUGACCAUUGGUGCCUCAAAAAUUGACAAAAUGUUGAAUAUGGGAACAUUUCAUGGGGACAAAUGUGGUUUUGGAUUUAAUCAUUUUGAUUCUUGUGCUUAUAGUUCUACCACUAAGUUUGUCAAAUCUACUAUUCCACCCAUUGCACCUCUUGUUGUACAGCUGGUAGUCAAGAAACCAAAGUUUGUUCCAACUUGUCACAGGUGUGGGUUAACUGGUCAUAUUUGGCCAGUAUGUCAUAUGAACAAAAGAUAUUAGACCAGAAAAUUGUAUUCCAAAUCUAAAAGGAAUUCCAGAUCUUUACAAGAUCAGGUUGAUCAUUUGCUAAAUGAAGUAACUAAGAUUGCCAAACUUGUCUCUCUUAAAAUGAACUCACCCACUGUGCCUAAAUCUACUUGGAUUGCAAAAGGUCAAACCAAAAGUCUUAUUGUACUAAAUGCCUUUGCUGCUUCAAAUACCAACUCAUGGUACAUUGAUAGUGGCUGCUCCAAACAUAUGUCUGGUGAUAAGAGUGUUUUCUCAUCCCUCGGUCCUUUUGAUGGAGACACUGUGUCUUUUGGGAGAGGUCACAAGUCUCAAGUAGUGGGAAAAGGCAAUGUGUGCAUCCCUGGUCUACUCGAGCUUAAGAAUGUUAGAUUUGUUGAGGGUCACACAUCCAAUCUCAUUAGUGUGAGUCAGUUGUGUGAUGAUGGAGUGGUAGGAGUUAGAUUUUCCACGCAUUGCUGCAAAAUUGUUCGAAAAGAAGGUAAUGAGAUUGUAAGUGUGACAAGAUCAAGAUACAAUUGCUAUUGCAUCGAUGGAAGUGAUGAUGCCAAAGAUGUGGUUUGCAAUAAGUUAGUGAAUGAAACUAAUGUCUUGUGGCAUCAAAGACUUGGACACGUGAACUUUAAAGACUUGCACAAAUUGUCCAAAAGAGAGUUAGUGAGUGGUCUGCCAAAGCUUGACAAACUGAUCAACAUGUUUGUGAAGGAUGUCAACUGGGCAAACAAGUUAGAGUGUCACACAAGAAGGUCAAACACAUUCAAACCAAAGUAUGUCUAGAACUUGUUCACAUGAACCUUGUUGGUCCCAUUCAAACCUUGUCCAUUUGUGGCAAGAAAUAUAUUCUGGUCAUUGUUGAUGAUUUCUCUAGGUACACUUGGGUCUCAUUCUUACGUAAGAAAUCUGAAAUAUUUCAAAUGUUUAAAUCUGUCUGUCAUCUUUUGCAAAAAGAGAAGAUGGCUAGUCAUCUGCCUCUUAUUAGAAUUAGAACAGAUCAUGGUUCUGAGUUUGAAAAUUCUUAGUUUCUGAAAUUUUAUGAGGAGAUGGGGAUCAAGCAUGAGUUCUCUGCACCUAUUACACCUCAGCAAAAUGGUGUUGUGGAGAGAAAGAAUAGAGUUCUUGUUGAGAUGGCUAGGGUGAUGCUUAACAGUAAAAAUCUUACCAAACAUUUUUUGGCUAAAGCUGUAAAUACAGCUUGUUACAUCUCAAAUAGGGGGCUUUUGAGGUCUGGUACCAAACAAACUCCCUAUGAGCUUUGGAAAGGCAAGAAACCAAAUGUGUCUUAGAUUAGAGUCUUUGGUAGCACAUGUUAUAUCUUAAGAGACAGGGAACACCUUGCUAAGUUUGACUCUAAAAGUGACAAGGGAAUAUUUCUUGGGUAUUCCACUUCAAGCCGAGACUAUAGAGUGUACAAUUAUAGGACCGAAACCAUCAUUGAGUCCAUAAAUAUCAGUAUUGAUGAUUUUGUUGCCUCUACUGAGAUGGCAUCAGAUGAGGAUGGUCUCUUGUCAACGUUUAGUAAACUAGUUGACCUUUUAACUCUUGACAAUUCAGGUCCAGUUGACCUGUCAACUCGUCAUAAUCAACCUCAGAAUCCCAGCUCAUCUGUCCAUGUUGAAAACUCUUGAGCUGAUUAUAGUCCCAUAACUCAAACAGAGAGUGUCAUUAUUAGUCAUCUGAAUCAGGGAGUGAGAACUAGAAAACAACUCUCUAAGGAAAUUAGCCAUGUGUGUUAUGUCUAAAGGAAGAACCUAAGAAUGUGAAAGAGGCUUUGAACCGUGGAGAAUGGUUUCUUGCAAUGCAAGAGGAGUUAAAUCAGUUUGUUCGCAAUGAUGUUUGGAACCUUGUCCCUAAACCAACCAACACCAAUGUUACAGGCACUAAGUGGAUUUUCAAGAACAAAACUGAUGAACAAGGUAAUGUUGUUAGAAACAAGGCUAGAUUGGUUGCUCAAGGUUACACUCAAAUAGAAGGUAUUGACUUUGAUGAAACCUUUGCCCCUGUUGCAAUUGCCCCUGUUGCAAGGUUAGAAUCAGUGAGAUUACUACUUGCCAUUGCUUGUCACUUGAAGUUUAAACUUUAUCAAAUGGAUGUCAAAAUUGCAUUUUUGAAUGGUAUAUUGCAUGAGGAGGUCUAUGUUGAGCAACCAAAGGGCUUCGAAGAUCCACAUCAUCCUAAUGAUGUGUUUCGAUUGAAGAAGGCACUCUAUGGCUUGAAACAAUCUCUUAGAGCAUGGUAUGAGAGGCUCUCUUCUUCCCUUCUAAGAAAUGGUUAUGUUAGAAGGUCGGUUGACAAAACAUUGUUUGUAAAAAAGUUCAAAAUUGAUGUUUUGAUUGCUCAAGUGUAUAUUGAUGAUAUUGUGGUUGAUUCUACCUCUAACUUGCAUGUUCAAGAAUUCAUACAUGUCAUGACUAGUGAAUUUGAAAUGAGUCUUGUCGGCGAGCUUAAUUACUUCUUAGGUCUUCAAAUCAAACAACACCAUGACGGGAUCUUUGUUUCUCAAUCUAAAUAUGCAAAAAAUCUUGUGAAAAAAUUUGGUUUGGAGGCUGCAAAAUUUGCAAGAACUCCAAUGAGCACUAGUGCUAAAAUUCAUAGAGACUUACAUGGGAAAAGUGUCAACCAAACUCCCUAUCGAAGCAUGAUAGGAAGCCUCCUCUACUUGACUGCUAGUAGACCUGACAUUUCUUAUAAUGUAGGAGUUUGUGCUAGAUUCCAAAGUGAUCCCAAAGAGUCUCAUUUUUUUGCUGUCAAAAGAGUCAUAAAAUAUGUGAAUGGAACCAUUGAUUUUGGUUUGUGGUAUACCUAUAACACUAGUGUCAAUCUUGUUGGGUAUAGUGAUGCCGAUUGGGCUGGGUGUAAUGAUGAUAGGAAGAGCAUUUCUGGGGGAGUCUUUUAUGUUGGCAACAAUCUUGUUGCUUGGCAUAGCAAAAAACAAAACUCAGUGUCAUUGUCUAUACUGAGGUUGAGUAUGUUGCAGCUGGAAGUUGCUGCACACAACUCCUCUGGAUGAAGCAGAUGUUGGAAGACUAUGGUCUUUCUCAAUCAUCCUUCCUCAUCUACUGUGAUAACAUGAGUGCAAUCAAUAUUUCCAAAAAUCCAAUUCAACAUUCCAGAACAAAGCAUAUAGACAUUAGAUAUCAUUUUAUUAGAGAUCUUGUGGAAGACAACAUUUUAACUUUAGAGUUUGUUCCUUCUGAGAAACAACUAACAGACAUACUCACCAAGGCCUUGGACUUUCAAAAACAUGUCACCCUUAGACAGUCUAUUGGCCUUUGCUCAAUUGAUUGAUUAGUAUGUUUGUUCCUUGUCUUCAGCACAUUCCAAAACAGUUGACUAGUCAUCUUGCAUAUAGUUGACUAGUCAAGUCCAAUUUUAAAUUUAAAUGAUAUUCAAGCAAGACACAACAAACUUCACACAAGCGGGCUCGCAUAACAUAAAUUGUACACAUAUACUAAUUUAGUAAACUACUGAGAUAUUAAUUGUUCAUUCUUAGCUAUUUCAUAAAAAAUAUUAUUUAUAUAAAAAUAAAUAUAAAAAUAUAUAUAUAUUAUAAAGAAUAUUUCCAAAAAUAUUGGAUAUUUGAAUAUUAAAUUUCGAUCUAUUUCUCAAAUAUAUGUUUAUCAAUAAUUAAUAUUUUAAUUAGCUUAAUUAAAUAGUAAGAUUUUUUUUUUUUACUAUUCUAUAGUACUAUGUUUUUUUGAUAUUUUAUUAUAUGAAAUAUAUUUUAUUUAGAAUUAUCUUCUAAUUAUAAAUUAACGGAAUGAUUGUUUAUAGCCAUUUUAUUAGUUAUGGCUAGUAAUUAAAUUUUAAAUUAAUAAUACUCAGACCUUGACCAGAUACUCUUAUGACUAGUCAACUGUCAUAGAUGAAUUACCACAACCAAAAACAUACACAAAGCAUACCAAGAUGUACCUACAAACCUAGAGAAUUACUAGUGACAACCUAGGCACUCAUAAGAACCCAUCAAUUUAGGCAUCUCCUGUGCUAGCAACAACUAUGGUGAAAGUGUGUGAAGACAUCAUAAUCAAGUAAGCACCAAACAACAGGAAAUGAUGACUAGUCAACCGCAAGAACACAAACCCAUAAAUACAUGAAAAUCAUGCGAUGACUAGUCAACUAUCAAGAACACAAACCCAGAAAAUUACAGAGAUGCAAACCAUAAAUUAUUCACCAAGAAACCCGCCAUUAGGAAAAAUUUGGGGUCAUCAACCGACCAGGCAAUCUACUAAGCAAAACGAUUCUUACAAAGAAACACUAGCAAGCUCAAAAAAUCCUAUGUCUAUUUAGGAAGAUGAGCUUUACUUCCUUUCUGCAAUCUUCUCUGCCAAUAGAAAUUCUAUUGCAUCAUUGAAUAUGUCAAAGUGAUAAUGAUGCUAAAAUGUAAUAUUGUCCUUUUGCUAACAAGAACGACCUAUUCUCACUUUAUAUUGAGCAUUCAUAUAAGGCUAGGAUACUUUAUUGAAUGGGAAACUAGGAUACUUUAUUGAAUAGGAAAUUAGGACCACACAAGCAAUAGACAUUGAAAAAAAUAAUAAUAAAUUAAUAAAAAGAAACAGCCAGAAUAACACUGGACCACAUAAACACAACAGCCAGCCACCAAUUCCUUGGCCACGUAACUCCCACAAGCCCUCAUAAACACAAUAGCCUCUAAUCGCUAGGCUAGAGCCCACUCUAGCCCAUAUGCUGGUUCCGCCCCUGCCACCUAAGUUGUUAAAAUAUAAUUUUACCUCACCACUCUCAUUAAUAUUGUUUAACCAAUGUAAUAUCAUUUUCAUAUAUUUUUCAAUAAAAGUACUCUUCAUAGAAACAAUGAGCGCUAAAUUUAAUUAAUUAAUAUUACUUAAGGAAAUAUUUCUAUUUGAUUAAAAGAGGGUGAUAAUAUCUAUUCAUUAUCAUAGCCUUAACUACCCAUGAUACCGUUUUGAUAGUUUUUUUUUUUUCUUCUUCCUUGAAGUUAGGAAGGAGAUAUGCGUUCCCACACACACAACUAAUAUGUCAUGAGAAUUUGAACUUGAAAUCACUUGUCUACAAGUCAAUGUCAUUUUUCCCUAGCUUAAACCUUAUUGGCCGUUUUGAUAGUCUGAUAAGACAUAUCCCUUGUUUAUAAGUCUUAUAGCAAGAACAGGCGUUCACACUUUCUCUCGAAACUGAAAGAUUAUGAUUUGCCUUUACUAAUGAGGACGGCGUUAAUUAAUCUAUGACUAUACUUUGAUUAGUAUCUCAUGAUCUACCAAUAUGCAACUCAUGCACUAAAACAUUGAAGGUUUUGUGCAUCUAUAUGCAAGUGUGUUCAAGGAUUCAUGCAAAACUAAAUUUAGAAUGAUGAAAAAGAAAUUGAGUCAGAAAAUUAAGGGCAUAUAUAUAAAUACCGAAAUUCAUUCUAACAUGACACAAAGAAGCAAAAAUAUUUGUGCGAUUAAAAAACCUCAGUAGCUGAGUAUUUUCAAGAGAGAAGUAGCCAUUUGCAAAACAAGGGAGAAACAAGAUUAGUGAUUUCGGUCAGGCGAUUCGGGCUGCAGGUUUCCAUCAGAAUCAUAAUCAAUUUUCCCUGAAAAAUUCAGUGGAGCACAACGUUCUCCCAUAAUUAUGCUUUUCCUCCAAACUGCUUCAUCACUAUGAUCAUCAUCAUCAUCAUCUUUUUGAUCUUCUUCUCCUGCCUCCAUCUUCCUCCAAGAAACCAUCUUCGCCAUCGCCAGAGCUUUGCUACUAAUCUUGCUGUUUAACUUGGCAAUGAACUUUACAUCUUUCGACUCGGAGUUUGUGAUCGCUUCCUCCUUUUUCUCGUGUGAUUUUUUACUCUUGCGGGAAGUGCAGAGAAAUAUUACGAGAGAAAACAUGGAGAAAAAUACAAUGAGGGCGAAGAGAAAAUGUGAUUGGUGUUGAAACAAGUGGUGAGAGGCCAUGGAGAAGCUUGGAGCAAGAGGCCUUGCCAUGGCUACAAGGAGGAGAGGAGGGAUGGAUGAGGAAAUAAAAUUGGAGUUUAAUUUAUGAUUUGCAUGAGCUCUUAAAGAGUGCAGAAAGUGAUGAAAAUUAAUACAUACUCCGGUUGUCCCGGUGACAAAGUGGGGGCCAUCCGGGCUCCCCGUGUUAUACAAGGCUACAUGGACUUGACCUAUUGACUUAAGAGUCCCUCUUUACAAGGUUUUGGAGCCAUUGGCCUCUUCUGCAUCCAUAGGUCCAUUUAUACAAGGCGACAUGGACUUGACCUAUUGACUUAAGAGUACCUCUUUACAAGGUUUUGGAGCCAUUGGCCUCUUCUGCAUCCAUAGGUCCAUUUUGGCUUCUUUUAAAAAAUAUCUCUUCUUUUGUUUUUUUCAAAGUCUCUCUAAGUUAUAUACCCAUUCUUAGCACGAGUGAUAUAGAUAAAUCAUACAUCAUUUAAUUUAUAUAAACAAAUAAAAAAAAAUUCAAAAAAUGACAACUAACCCUAUUAAAUUACUUUAAUACUUUAUUGAGUAUUUUUUUUAUUUAAAAAUACCCUUCUUCUUUUUAUUAUUAUUAUUAUUUUUUUAUCUGGGCCUUACUUUGCUUUGGUUUGAAUAGGAAGGAAGAAGUUGGAUAGGCUUCUAAGCAAAACCAUAUUACCAAAUAAAAAUAUUGAAAGGAACAGUGGUGGGGAUGUACAUCUGCAACAUGUUAACUACAUAAAAUUUAUGUUAUUACCAGAUGAUUUUAUUAUAGUUCAUCAUCAUCUGCAUAUCAAUGUAGGAAAAUGUAGGGCACAAUGUUGGGUUGGGGUGGGGCAUGAGUUGCAAGACCAAAAAUGCCCAUGGCAGAUGUUGGCUUAUUAUCUUUCAAGAAUUCCAAAAAGAAGCUGCAGGUCAAUUACCAUUUGUUCUCACAUUGGAAUUUACGAAAAAUUCUAACAAAGUACAACUAGGAUAGGAGGAUCUUAUUUUCCAAACAUUUCAAAUAAAAGAACGGAAUAAAGUAUUGGAUUUCCAACCCCAGUUUAUAGGAUACGCGAGUUAUGCCAGUCGGUUAAGACAGUGAUUCUCCAGAAAAAUUAAAUUAAUUAUUGCUUGUAUUAAAAAAACGAAACACUAACUAUUAUACAUUGUCAUAUUGCUGGUAAUCAAUGUUAGAAAACAGAUAACAGAUAGAGAGCUAGAAUUUAGAAGAAAAUGAUGAGUUUCAAUACAGAUUAGGAAAUCAACUGUGUUGUUAUUAAUGAUAAGCAGAUUAAAACUGCAGACAUAGACAAAGCUUACACAUACAAACUAAGAUUAAGCAAAAGCAACCAAUUAACCAAAAAAAUUUGGAUUAAUUUUUGCAUCAAAUUGGAAUGGCAUU